RNAcentral lists this long non-coding RNA (63696 nucleotides) under Triticum aestivum (bread wheat). RNAcentral describes it as "long non-coding RNA (TAES_LNC007370)". The record is from RNAcentral. Lineage: Eukaryota; Viridiplantae; Streptophyta; Magnoliopsida; Poales; Poaceae.
CGGCGAGUCUGGCCACUUCUCCCGCGAGUGCCCCAACAAGGCCCACUAGGCGGCGCAGCUCGUCAGAUCUGAGUGCCCCGUUUCCUUUCGCUCCUUUACCUACCUCUUGAUUCUGCAGCAAGUCAUACCCUAUACCUAUCAGUACUAGUAUUAGUCGCCGUAGCGUUUCCCCCUGCUGCUCGAUGCGAGCUUGGUUUCAGAAGAAUUGCUGGUGGUGUGUUCGUUAAGAUCCAAGUUAUUUUGUUGUCUCUCUGUGAUGAGGACACAGAUCUAUCUAUGUGUUGGAUGGACUAAGUUAUCGAAGUCAAGUUUGGUGUCUUAAGAUUGAUCUAUGAUCUUGCAUGUCUAUUGUUUAUCUUGCAUAUCUGCCAGGCUUGAAAGUGUUGAUUCUGAUAUUCUAUUCUAGCUUAGUGGUGGAUUAUUUUGGAAUCCUGUUCUCCCAUUUCAAUGUGAUUCCAUUGGCGUUUUGAUAGUGGGUACGAUUCGCAAGUUUGAUGCUUUUCAACAGUUUCAUGGUUCAAAAUCUUUCUUAAAUAAGGUCCAUUCUUAUAUGUGCUUGUGCCACUGUAGACCUGCACUGCUUGUCUGACUGCUACUACUAGUUUCUUCUCGUGCCACUUGCUUGCAAAAUGUAACCUAGCUUAAUAUUUUUGCAUCCGUGUUAAGCAAGAUUCGAUGAUUCCUUGCCAUGAUGGAAGGCAAAUUCAAUCAGUUCUGCUGUCAAAUUCAUUAUAAGCUUAAUCUGAAUUCAGCAGUCUCUUAAGAAAGAAGGCACGUUAGCUUACUGAUUAAGCCUAACGCUCCGUUGCAGCUUAGUGGAGAGAGUGUGCUUUGUCUUGGAUGAACGGAAUGGAAUCAUGUCGCUUUAGACUUACGUGUGCGAAGAAUAACAGCCUAAAUUUAGAUCUCCUUAAACAUAUAUGACUGAACCCACGAACUAUGAUUACGAUGACUUAUUAUCUGCGGCUUUUUAGCAUAAAUUUAAUAGCUGUGAGCUUACGAUGACUUGUUAUCUGCGGCUUUUUAGCAUUUUUCAUAGGAAAUUCAAUAGCCACUCCCAAAUGAAACCAUGAUAUGAAUUAUGAAGUACACAUCUCAAUAUUCCAGAUCUCCUGCGUCCUUUGCAGGCAAUGAGCAGGGGGAGGGACCCUGCCCCUGCAGUCGUACUUGGUAGUCUUUUUAGUCCUAAAUGGCAGUUUGUCGGGUAAUCUCAUCGGGGAGGAGACUCCGGCGAGCCCUGUUCGUGGCCGCCAUAGCGUUUGCUGUCCUCGACUUCUUCGAUGCUGGCAACAACUUGGUCUGCCCCGUAUCUUACGAACCCAAUAACCUCCCUGUAUCCAGUUUGCUCCUGCUUUCUCUUCGUGUGUUGAUCUCCAUGGUGAGCUUACCGUCGGAACAAGGGGCGAUAGUGUAGGGAUGGAGGCAACCAAAUCCGUCUUCUCCCAAGUUCCCUUUGUUUCCCUUUAGCUCCAACAAAUUCCUUGUAGAAUUUGGUCAUAUUUAUUCCGUUUCUCUGGCGUUGUUGGUCUAGGUUUUCUCUCCAAUCUACCUUCUGGUCUCUGCUGGUUGGUAUGAAUUGAAGACUGCCUCGAAUUCUGUCCUUAUGGCUUCUGUUCCUGCUUAUGUUCCAUACGUUUUUACGGUCAAUUGGUUGCUAGGUCCAAUCAAUACUUGUUCAUGCCCUCUCCAACCUCUGACUUGGGGCCCCGCAUGGUGAUUCUUGGCUGUGGUGGCCAUUGUUUUAACCUGGUGGCGCUGUAGGAGCCACUCCGUGGUAGGUUUUAGGGCGCAUUUCUCAAGGUUGGAGCUUGGUCGUUGAAGAUUGUAGUAGGACAAGGUGGUGGUGUUUUUUCUUCUUUGAAACGGAGGCAAAAGAUUUGCGUUAUUCAUUAAUUAAACAGAAAAGAAUUGCUUAGUUAAUUACCGAAAAACUGGGCAAAAACCGUCACAAUACACUGAGCGGCACACAUAGUAUACCCCACGCCUCCUUUCAGAGGGCCUCGUCGAGCUAGUACACAUGCAUCAUCGUCAUCACUUCUCCCAAAACAGCGUCAUUGCCUUGCCAAAACGGCGUCACUGCCUUUCCUAAUCCCUGAGCAAGCGAUCCGACUUCACCGUAGACGAGCAUCAACCCAACCCACACCAUUGCUAAGUAAAUAAGCAAUUUUUCGACUAAUUUAAUCUAUAAGUAGAUGACUAGCAAGGCAUUGAAAGAAUUAACGACAUAUUGAUCUAAACAAGCACGUACUACGCAAAGAGUAGACAAAUCUACACAUGAUGCUAGUACUGCUAAUACGAAAAUAAUCAGGAAAGGGAUAAACGCGUUAUACCCUCCAGUAGGCCAUGCAGAAGCCGCCGCGGUGGUGGCGACAACAUCAGCGUUCCCGGCGGCCUUCUUGUCAGCCUCGGUCUUCUCGGCGGCGGCACGUUCGACGUUGGUGGACAUGGUGAUGACGGAGACGACACAGACGUAGUGGAUCGGAGGCGAGCAGUCGCGUAGUCGCUUCCCAAAAACCUAUUCGCUUCUCUCCCGUACAGGAACCGGAGAGAUGGUGUUUCGGAGACCUGCUCUCCCGUCGACCGUGUACGCGACGAACAGGAUGGAGUCACCGGUGGCAACAACAGCAAAGGAACGACGGUGGGUGGUUCGCGUGGAGCAGAUGUGAUCUGAUCGUGGCGGCUAGGGUUAGGAGACACCACAUAUUUAUAUAGGCGCAGCCGCGUGGAGAGACGUGGGCUCGACCCAUGUCCGAGUCCGUGACAGCCCAUGAUCCGACGUCUCAGAUCGUGGCCCAGCUGUCAGAAACUCUCCGUUAGUGACUGGCAAAAAUAAGCGCGUAGGUGUGAGCUCGGCUCGGCUUAUUCCCGCAACCCGCAUCGCGUCGCGUCGCGACGAGGCGUGGCGGGCGGAGGAGGAGGAGCGCGCGAGGGCCUCUUCUCUUCUCAAGCUCCAAUAGCAUGUAGAAGAGAAACCCUUAUAAGAAGGUCCAACUCCUCUUCCACUUUCGGGGUGGGACUAAACUUCCCACCUCCACCUAGUGCCAAUAAACCCACAUGGGUCCUUAGAGAUUUUUCUGAAAUUGUUGGAUGGGCCUAAAGCCCACCCCAUAUUUCAACAAUCCCCCAUCAGAUCUCGAGGGCCCAUUGUGUCCUUUGUCCCAAUAGCUGUUUCGAUAUACUAGUGUUUCAGUGAAGACCUGUUAAGGUUGAGCUUCACCUAGAGCAAGUAGCUAGACUCCUUCACAACUGAACAAUGGACUAUGCCUUGAAUUGUCAGUUUGGCGUAAAGAAGCUUCGCCACAUGUCUUACUAGUACUAGGCUGUCGAUGGCUGACCCCUUGGGUGGAGCAUAUAAGUUACACUCCUGGCCUGUUUAUGAGUUUACUAGAGAUCACCCCAAUCUCAUAGACUGUGACCAGCAGUCGGGCUCACAUAGGUGUGUUCCUUCAAAGAUCGCUCUGUAGGAUAUCAUCCUGCUUACAUAAGCUUUGGAACACAUUAAGACAGUAGUCAUCCUACCAUACAAUAUCGAGAGUAUUGCAUCUCCAACGGAGUGGGUUAGUGUAGUUACUCUCCUCAGUUCACCACUGACUUGUUUUCCCAGGUCCUACUUCACGGCAUCUUCGAUCACAUAGGUUGGGUUACCACCAUGGCAACUCAUGUGGGUCUCAUACCCAUCUCCCACGAUACACUAUCUAUCACAACACGUGAUAGCCCUUUUGUAAAGGGGUCUGCCAGAUUCUUAGCCAUAUGGACAUACUCCAACGCUAUCACUCCGGAGUUUCUUAAUUUUUCGACAGCUUUUAAUCUCAUUCUUAUGUGUUUGUUGGACUUCAUGUUGUCCUUUGAACUCUUCACCUUGGUGAUGACAGUCUGAUUAUCACAGUUCAUAAGGAUAGCCGGAACGUGUUUAUCAACCAAUGGCAAGUCCAUCAGAAGAUCUUGAAGCCAUCCUGCUUCGACACCAGAUUUGUCUAAUGCUGUUAAUUCUGCUUCCAUUGUCGAUCUCAUUAAGAUCGUUUGCUUGCAAGACUUCCAGGAAACAGCACCACCUCCAAGAGUAAACAUAUACCCAGCUGUGGCCUUUAUCUCAUUAGCAUCAAAGAUCCAAUUCACAUCACUAUACCAUUCAAGUACCGACGGGUAUCCGGUAUAGUGAAAUCCGUAGUUCAUAGUACCUUUCAGAUAAUGCAUUACCCUCUCAAUAGCAUGCUAAUGUACAUCACCCGAAUUGGAAACAAACCGUCUCAGUUUGCUUACAGCAAACGCGAUGUCAGGCCUCGUUGCGCUCGCUAGGUACAUGAGUGAACCAAUGAUUUGAGAGUAUCUCAGUUGAUCCUUAGGUGUGCCUUCUGUCGUGGAAUUGUCAUGUCAGAUGUCCUAGUGAAAGGACUUAGUCGUGGAGCCAUCGCAACUAGGAAUCUUAAAGGGGUUAAUCGGGACAAAGUGUUGGGGAACGUUGCAGAAAAUAAAAUUUUUCCUACAGUUUCACCAAGAUCCAUCUAUGAGUUCAUCUAAGCAACGAGUGAAAGGGUAGAUGCAUCUACAUACCACUUUGUAGAUCGCGAGCGGAAGCGUUCAGAAGAACGGGGUUGAGGUAGUCGUUCUCGUCGUGAUCCUAUCACCGGAGAUCCUAGUGCCGAAUGGACGGCACCUCCGCGUUCAACACACGUACGGUCAGCGUGACGUAUCCUCCGUCUUGAUCCAGCAAGGGGGAAGGAGAGGUUGAUGACGAUCCAGCAGCACGACGACGUGGUGGUGGAUGCAGCAGAACUCCGGCAGGGCUUCGCCAAGCUGCUGCGGGAGGAGGACGAGGUGUAGCAGGGGGAGGGAGGCGCCAAGACUUCUGGUGCGGCUGCCCUCCCCCUGCCCUCCUUUAUAUAGGCCCCCAGGGGGGGGGGGCGCCGGCCCUAGGAGAUCAAUCUCCCAAGGGGGGGCGACGGCCAAGGGGGGUGGAGUGCCCCCCUAGGCAAGUGGUGCGCCCCCCCACCUAGGGUUUCCAACCCUAGGUGUAGGGGGGGGGGCCAAGGGGGGGCGCACCAGCCCACUAGGGGCUGGUUCCCCUCCCACUUCAGCCCACGGGGCCCUCCGGGAUAGGUGGCCCCACCCGGUGGACCCCCGGGACCCUUCCGGUGGUCCCGGUAUAAUACCGGGUGACCCCGAAACUUUCCUGAUGGCCGAAACAGCACUUCCUAUAUAGUUUUCUUUACCUCCGGACCAUUCCGGAACUCCUCGUGACGUCCGGGAUCUCAUCCGGGACUCCGAACAACAUUCAGUUUGCUGCAUACUCAUAUUCAUACAACCCUGGCGUCACCGAACCUUAAGUGUGUAGACCCUACGGGUUCGGGAGACAUGCAGACAUGACCGAGACGGCUCUCCGGUCAAUAACCAACAGCGGGAUCUGGAUACCCAUGUUGGCUCCCACAUACUCCUCGAUGAUCUCAUCGGAUGAACCACGAUGUCGAGGGUUCAAGCAACCCCGUAUACUAUUCCCUUUGUCAGACGGUAUGUUACUUGCCCGAGACUCGAUCGUUGGUAUCCCAAUACCUCGUUCAGUCUCGUUACCGGCAAGUCACUUUACUCGUACCGUAAUGCGUGAUCCCGUGACCAGACACUUGGUCACUUUGAGCUCAUUAUGAUGAUGCACUAUCGAGUGGGCCCAGUGAUACCUCUCCGUUAUACGGAGUGACAAAUCCCAGUCUCGAUCCGUGUCAACCCAACAGAAACUUUCGGAGAUACCUGUAGUGCACCUUUAUAGUCACCCAGUUAUGUUGUGACAUUUGGUACACCCAAAGCACUCCUACGGUAUCCGAGAGUUACACGAUCUCAUGGUCUAAGGAAGAGAUACUUGACAUUGGAAAAGCUCUAGCAAAACGAACUACACGAUCUUGUGCUAUGCUUAGGAAUGGGUCUUGUCCAUGACAUCAUUCUCCUAAUGAUGUGAUCCCGUUGUCAACGACAUCUAAUGUCCAUAGUCAGGAAACCAUGACUAUCUGUUGACCAACGAGCUAGUCAACUAGAGGCUUACUAGGGACGUAUUUGGUCUAAGUAUUCACACGUGUAUUACGAUUUCCGGAUAAUACAAUUAUAGCAUGAAUAAAAGACAAUUAUCAUGAACAAGGAAAUAUAAUAAUAAUCCUUUUAUUAUUGCCUCUAGGGCAUAUUUCCAACAGUCUCCGACUUGCACUAGAGUCAGUAAUCUAGUUACAUUGUGAUGAAUCGAACACCCAUAGAGUUCUGGUGUUGAUCAUGUUUUGCUCGCGAAAGAGGUUUAGUCAAUGGAUCUGCGACAUUCAGAUCCGUAUGUACUUUGCAAAUAUCUAUGUCUCCAUCUUGAACAUUUUCACGGAUGGAGUUGAAACGACGCUUGAUGUGCCUAGUCUUCUUGUGAAACCUGGGCUCCUUGGCAAGGGCAAUAGCUCCAGUGUUGUCACAGAAGAGUUUGAUCGGCCCCGACGCAUUGUGUAUGAAUCCUAGGUCGGUGAUGAACUCCUUCACCCAAAUUGCUUCAUGCGCUGCCUCCGAGGCUGCCAUGUACUCCGCUUCACAUGUAGAUCCCGCCACGACGCUCUGCUUGUAGCUGCACUAGCUUACCGCUCCACCAUUCAACAUAUACACGUAUCCGGUUUGUGACUUAGAGUCAUCCAGAUCUGUGUCGAAGCUAGCGUCGACGUAACCCUUUACGACGAGCUCUUCGUCACCUCCAUAAACGAGAAACAUGUCCUUUAUCCUUUUCAGGUACUUCAGGAUAUUCUUGACCGCUGUCCAGUGUUCCUUGCCGGGAUUACUUUGGUACCUUCCUACCAAACUUACGGCAAGGUUUACAUCAGGUCUGGUACACAUCAUGGCAUACAUAAUAGAUCCUAUGGCUGAGGCAUAGGGGAUGAUGCUCAUCUCUUCUUUAUCUUUUGCCGUGGUCGGGCAUUGAGCCGAGCUCAAUCUCACACCUUGCAGUACAGGCAAGAACCCUUUUUUGGACUGAUCCAUUUUGAACUUCUUCAAAAUCUUAUCAAGGUAUGUGCUUUGUGAAAGACCUAUGAGGCGUCUCGAUCUAUCCCUAUAGAUCUUGAUGCCUAAUAUGUAAGCAGCUUCUCCAAGGUCCUUCAUUGAAAAACACUUAUUCAAGUAGGCCUUAAUGCUGUCCAAGAAUUCUAUAUCAUUUCCCAUCAAAAGUAUGCAUCUACAUAUAAUAUGAGAAAUGCUACAGAGCUCCCACUCACUUUCUUGUAAACGCAGGCUUCUCCAUAAGUCUGCAUAAACCCAAACGCUUUGAUCAUCUCAUCAAAGCGAAUGUUCCAACUCCGAGAUGCUUGCACCAGCCCAUAAAUGGAUCGCUGGAGCUUGCACACUUUGUUAGCAUUCUUAGGAUCGACAAAACCCUCCGGCUGCAUCAUAUACAAUUCUUCCUUAAGAUGUCCGUUAAGGAAUGCCGUUUUGACGUCCAUCUGCCAUAUCUCAUAAUCAUAGUAUGCGGCAAUUGCUAACAUGAUUCGGACGGACUUAAACUUUGCUACGGGAGAGAAAGUCUGAUCGUAGUCAAUCCCUUGAACUUGCCGAUAACCCUUAGCGACAAGUUGAGCUUUAUAGAUGGUGACAUUACCAUCCGCGUCCGUCUUCUUCUUAAAGAUCCAUUUGUUUUCUAUCGCUCGCCGAUCAUCGGGCAAGUCAGUCAAAGUCCAUACUUUGUUUUCAUACAUGGAUUCUAUCUCGGAUUUCAUGGCUUCUAGCCAUUUGUUGGAAUCUGGGCCCGCCAUCGCUUCUUCAUAGUUCGAAGGUUCACCGUUGUCUAACAACAUGAUUUCCAGGACAGGGUUGCCAUACCACUCUGGUGUGGAACAUGUCCUUGUGGACCUACAAAGUUCAGUAGCAACUUGAUCAGAAGUACCUUGAUCAUCAUCAUUAAUUUCCUCUCUAGUUGGUGUAGGCACCAAACGUUUUCCUGAGCUGCACUACUUUCCGGUUCAAGAGGUAGUACUUCAUCGAGUUCUACUUUCCUCCCACUUACUCCUUUCGAGAGAAACUCUUUUUCCAGAAAGGAUCCGUUCUUGGCAACAAAGAUCUUGCCCUCGGAUCUUAAGUAUAAGGUAUACCCAAUGGUUUUCUUAGGGUAUCCUAUGAAGACACAUUUUUCCGACUUGGGUUCGAGCUUUUCAGGUUGAAGUUUCUUGACAUAAGCAUCGCAUCCCCAAAAUUUUAGAAACGACAGCUUAGGUUUCUUCCCAAACCAUAAUUCAUACGGUGUCGUCUCAACGGAUUUAGACGGUGCCCUAUUUAAAGUGAAUGUAGCUGUCUCUAGAGCGUAUCCCCAAAAUGAUAGCGGUAAAUCGGUAAGAGACAUCAUAGAUUGCACCAUAUCCAAUAGAGUGCGAUUACGACGUUCGUACACACCGUUACGCUGAGGUGUUCCUGGCGGCGUGAGUUGUGAAAUGAUUCCACAUUUUCUUAAGUGUGUACCAAAUUCGUGACUUAAAUAUUCUCCUCCACGAUCCGAUCGUAAGAAUUUUAUCUUUCGGUCAUGUUGAUUCUCUACUUCAUUCUGAAAUUCCUUGAACUUUUCAAAGGUCUCAAACUUGUGUUUCAUCAAGUAGACAUACCCAUAUCUACUCAAGUCAUCAGUGAGAGUGAGAACAUAACGAUAUCCUCCGCGAGCCUCAACGCUCAUUGGACCGCACACAUCGGUAUGUAUGAUUUCCAACAAGUUGGUUGCUCGCUCCAUUGUUCCGGAGAACGGAGUCUUGGUCAUUUUGCCCAUGAGGCAUGGUUCGCAUGUGUCAAAUGAUUCAUAAGCGAGAGACUCCAAAAGUCCAUCAGCAUGGAGCUUCUUCAUGCGCUUGACACCAAUGUGACCAAGGCGGCAGUGCCACAAGUAUGUGGGACUAUCGUUAUCAACUUUACAUCUUUUGGUAUUCACGCUAUGAAUAUGUGUAACAUUACGUUCGAGAUUCAUUAAGAAUAAACCAUUGACCAUCGGGGCAUGACCAUAAAACAUAUCUCUCAUAUAAAUAGAACAACCAUUAUUCUCGGAUUUAAAUGAGUAGCCAUCUCGUAUCAAACGAGAUCCAGAUACAAUGUUCAUGCUCAAACUUGGCACUAAAUAACAAUUAUUGAGGUUCAUAACUAAUCCCGUGGGUAAAUGUAGAGGUAGCGUGCCGACGGCGAUCACAUCGACCUUGGAACCAUUCCCGACGCGCAUCGUCACCUUGUCCUUCGCCAGUCUCCGCUUAUUCCGCAACUCCUGCUGUGAGUUACAAAUGUGAGCAACGGCACCGGUAUCAAAUACCCAGGAGUUACUAUGAGUACUGGUAAGGUACACAUCAAUUACAUGUAUAUCAAAUAUACCUUCAGUGUUGCCGGCCUUCUUAUCCGCUAAGUAUUUGGGGCAGUUCCACUUCCAGUGACCCUUCCCUUUGCAAUAAAAGCACUCAGUCUCAGGCUUGGGUCCAUUCUUUGACUUCUUCCCAGCAACUGGCUUACCGGGCGCGGCAACAUCUUUGCCAUCCUUCUUGAAGUUCUUCUUACCCUUGCCCUUCUUGAACUUAGUGGUCUUAUUGACCAUCAACACUUGAUGUUCUUUCUUGAUUUCAACCUUUGCUGACUUCAGCAUUGAGAAUACUUCAGGAAUGGUCUUCACCAUCCCCUGCAUAUUGUAGUUCAACACAAAGCUCUUGUAGCUCGGUGGGAGCGACUGAAGGAUUCUGUCAAUGACCGCCUCUUCCGGGAGGUUGAUCUCCAGCUGGGACAGGCGGUUGUGCAACCCAGACAUUUUGAGUAUGUGCUCACUGAAAGAACUGUUUUCCUCCAUCUUGCAACUAUAGAACUUGUCGGAGACUUCAUAUCUCUCGACCCGGGCAUGAGCUUGGAAAACCAUUUUCAGCUCCUCGAACAUCUCAUAUGCUCCGUGCUUCUCAAAACGCUUUUGGAGCCCCGGUUCUAAGCUGUAAAGCAUGCCGCACUGAACGAGGGAGUAAUCAUCAGCACGUGAUUGCCAAGUGUUCAUAACGUCUUGGUUCUCUGGGAUGGGUGCUUCACCUAGCGGUGCAUCUAGGACAUAAUCUUUCUUGGCUGCUAUGAGGAUGAUCCUCAGGUUCCGGACCCAGUCCAAAUAGUUGCUGCCAUCAUCUUUCAGCUUGGUUUUCUCUAGGAACGCGUUGAAGUUCAUGUUGACAUGAGUGUUGGCCAUUUGAUCUACAAGACAUAUUUUGCAAAAGUUUUAGACUAAGUUCAUGAUAAUUAAGUUCAUCUAAUCAAAUUAUUUAAUGAACUCCCACUCAGAUUAGACAUCCCUCUAGUCAUCUAAGUGUUACACGAUCCGAGUCGACUAGGCCAUGCCCGAUCAUCACGUGAGACGGACUAGUCAUCAUCGGUGAACAUCUCCACGUUGAUCGUAUCCUCCAUACGACUGAUGUUCGACCUUUCGGUCUCUGUGUUCCGAGGCCAUGUCUGUACAUGCUAGGCUCGUCAAGUUAACCCUAAGUGUUCUGCAUGUGUAAAUCUGUCUUACAACCGUUGUAUGUGAACGUAAGGAUCUAUCACACCCGAUCAUCACAUGGUGCUUCGAAACGACGAACUUUAGCAACGGUGCACAGUUAGGGGGAACACUUUCUUGAAAUUAUUAUAAGGGAUCAUCUUAUUUACUACCGCCAUUCUAAGUAAACAAGAUGCAUAAAACAUAAUAAACAUCACAUGCAAUUAUAUAGUAGUGACAUGAUAUGGCCAAUAUCAUAUAGCUCCUUCGAUCUCCAUCUUUGGGGCUCCAUGAUCAUCUUAGUCACCGACAUGACACCAUGAUCUCCAUCAUCAUGAUCUCCAUCAUUGUGUCUUCAUGAAGUUGUCACGCCAAUGACUACUUCUAUUUCUAUGGCUAACACGUUUAGCAAUAAAGUAAAGUAAUUUACAUUGCGUUCUUCAAUGACACGCAGGUCAUACAAAAAUAAAGACAACUCCUAUGGCUCCUGCCGGUUGUCAUACUCAUAGACAUGCAAGUCAUGAUUCCUAUUACAAGAACAUGAUCUCAUACAUCACAAUAUAUCAUUCAUCAUUCAUCACAACUUCUGGCCAUAUCACAUCACAUGACAAUUGCUGCAAAAACAAGUUAGACGUCCUCUAAUUGUUGUUGCAUCUUUUACGUGGCUGCAAUUGGGUUCUAGCAAGAACGUUUUCUUACCUACGAAUAACCACAACGUGAUUUUGUCAACUUCUAUUUACCCUUCAUAAGGACCCUUUUCAUCUAAUCCGCUCCAACUAAAGUAGGAGAGACAGACACCCGCUAGCCACCUUAUGCAACUAGUGCAUGUCAGUCGGUGGAACCUGUCUCACGUAAGCGUACGUGUAAGGUCGGUCCGGGCCGCUUCAUCCCACAAUACCGCUGAAGCAAGAAAAGACUAGUAGCGGCAAGCAAGUUGACAAGAUCUACGCCCACAACAAAAUUGUGUUCUACUCAUGCAAUAGAGAACUACGCAUAGACCUAGCUCAUGAUGCCACUGUUGGGGAACGUUGCAGAAAAUAAAACUUUUCCUACGGUUUCACCAAGAUCCAUCUAUUAGUUCAUCUAAGCAAUGAGUGAAAGGGGAUAUGCAUCUACAUACCAUUUUGUAGAUCGCGAGCGGAAGCGUUCAAAAGAACGGGGUUGAGGUAGUCGUUCUCGUCGUGAUCCUAUCACUGGAGAUCCUAGCGCCGAAUGGACGGCACCUCCGCGUUCAACACACGUACGGUCAGGGUGACAUCUCCUCUGUCUUGAUCCAGCAAGGGGGAAGGAGAGGUUGAUGACGAUCCAGCAGCACGACGGCGUGGUGGUGGAUGCAGCAGAACUCCGGCAGGGCUUCGCCAAGCUGCUGCAGGAGGAGGACGAGGUGUAGCAGGGGGAGGGAGGCGCCAAGACUUUGGGUGCGGCUGCCCUCCUUUAUAUAGGCCCCCAGGGGGGGGGGGCGCCGGCCCUGGGAGAUCAAUCUCCCAAGGGGGGCGGCGGCCAAGGGGGGUGGAGUGCCCCCCAAGGCAAGUGGUGCGCCCCCCCCACCUAGGGUUUCCAACCCUAGGCGCAGGGGGGGGGGGCAAGGGGGGGCGCACCAGCCCACUAGGGGCUGGUUCCCCUCCCACUUCAGCCCACGGGGCCCUCCGGGAUAGGUGGCCCCACCCGGUGGACCCCCGGGACCCUUCUGGUGGUCCCGUUACAAUACCGGGUGACCCCGAAACUUUCCCGAUGGCCGAAACAGCACUUCCUAUAUAGUUUUCUUUACCUCCGGACCAUUCCGGAACUCCUCGUGACGUCCGGGAUCUCAUCCGGGACUCCGAACAACAUUCGGUUUGCUGCAUACUCAUAUUCAUACAACCCUAGCGUCACCGAACCUUAAGUGUGUAGACCCUACGGGUUCGGGAGACAUGCAAACAUGACCGAGACGGCUCUCCGGUCAAUAACCAACAACGAGAUAUGGCUACCCAUUUUGGCUCCCACAUACUCCUCGAUGAUCUCAUCGGAUGAACCACGAUGUCGAGGGUUCAAGCAACCCCGUAUACUAUUCCCUUUGUCAGACGGUAUGUUACUUGCCCGAGACUCGAUCGUCGGUAUCCCAAUACCUCGUUCAGUCUCGUUACCAGCAAGUCACUUUACUCAUAUCGUAAUGCAUGAUCCCGUGACCAGACACUUGGUCACUUUGAGCUCAUUAUGAUGAUGCACUACCGAGUGGGCCCAGUGAUACCUCUCCGUUAUACGAAGUGACAAAUCCCAGUCUCGAUCCGUGUCAACCCAACAGACACUUUCGGAGAUACCUGUAGUGCACCUUUAUAGUCACCCAGUUACGUUGUGACGUUUGGUACACCCAAAGCACUCCUACGGUAUCCGGAAGUUACACGAUCUCAUGGUCUAAGGAAGAGAUACUUGACAUUGGAAAAGCUCUAGCAAAAGGAACUACACGAUCUUGUGCUAUGCUUAGGAAUGGGUCUUGUCCAUCACAUCAUUCUCCUAAUGAUGUGAUCCCGUUGUCAACGACAUCUAAUGUCCAUAGUCAGGAAACCAUGACUAUCUAUUGACCAACGAGCUAGUCAACUAGAGGCUUACUAGGGACGUAUUUGGUCUAAGUAUUCACACGUGUAUUACGAUUUCCGGAUAAUACAAUUAUAGCAUGAAUAAAAGACAAUUAUCAUGAACAAGGAAAUAUAAUAAUAAUCCUUUUAUUAUUGCCUCUAGGGCAUAUUUCGAACACAAAGGACACGAGGUUUAUACUGGUUCGGCCCCUUACGGUGAAGGUAAAAGCCUACGAUCAGUUUUGAGUGGGAUUGAUUAUGUUUUGAUUACCAGGGAGCGAAUCCGCUUGACCUAGUUCUCGAUCUGAUGUUACUUGCCCUGAACCGCCGCCGGGUUGUCCCUUUAUAUAUAGAGGUUGACGCCCAGCGGCUCUUAGAGUCCCGGCCGGCUCAUAAACAGUGUCCGGCUCGGUCUCUCUCUAUUCGUGCCUUACAAUACAAGUUACAUACAUAUGGCGGUUUAUCUCUACGGGCCUUAAAUCGCCUUUGGGCUUUGGGCCCUUAACUGAACCGCCAUCUUCAAGUGUCGUCUUAGGCUUCAUAUCUUGAGUCGCCAUAGGUACAACCCGACCCCUCUUUGGCGGGUCAUACCUAAUAGUUAUAUCCCUAACAUUAGGCCCCAGAUUGAUUUGAACGGGUUCAUGUCAGUCUUCAACACUUAGAAAAAAAUCCGCUCUUCGUUUGUACAGAAGCUUUUGUAAUCCGCCAUGACGUCAUCCUCUGGAUUUGGGAUAACCGGCCAUGACGUCAUCUGUCAUUAACACACACUUUGUCCAACAUAUCUCAACGGAUCCUUAUCUUAAUGAUCAUCCUGAGAAUCGAGGCGUCCUAGUAGCUGGAUAACCAUAUUUUCGACCUCCUCAUUUUUUGCGCCCACUUAUCUGUCUUCUCUUAUAAAUAGACACGACCAGGUCUUUUCUCAUUCUUCCCCUUUCCAUCGUCUUCCACCUCUCGCACCCUUCUACCACUCGAGCUCCGCCGCCACCGCAGAGCGCACCAGCGUCCUCGUCCAGGCCGCCGCAUCAACCUGAGUCGAUCCAGAGAACGGCGGCGACCCUCCGCAGUAGAUCUACAGCUAUAAGUUCCUGCUUUCCCGCACCUUAGAUCUGCAUUAGGGUUUCUGCCUGUUCUUCGUGUUCUUCACUGUUUCUUCAUAGUUCCUCCACUGCAGCCUCUUUUGAUCCAAAAGUAAUAUAGAACUCAUCCGGUAGUUUUUUACGUCCAUUUUUGAUACUAGAGGAUCCCUUUUUCUGUAAAGAGGCCUCAUUAGAACUCAGGAACUCAUCUGUACUAGUUUUUUAGGUCUAGAAUAUUUUCUUUUCCUGAACAGCCGCUGAUCCAAAAUAAUAGCUGCAACCUGUGAAACUUGUUUGUGUAACACUUAGGCAAAAACUGUAUUUUGUUACAUCCACCUAGCCAUGGCGACUCUUAUCACCGGCUUAAAAUUGCCAUGCUCAAUUGAUAAUCUUAACCACUCAUGGCGGUUUAGAUAACUUGACUGCUCAUGGCACUCAUGGCGGCUUAAAUAACUUGACAUAAUUAGGUACAUACCAUUAGGCCCCUUUAUAAGCCGCCAUCUUGAAUAUGCACUGUAAUGUUUCUCUUCGGCUUAAAUUUGAACCGAAAAUUUUACUCUUUGUUAGGCUUCCUUCACAGUGCCGCCCAAACAACCCACUUCAUGCAAUUGGGUCAAGUCCAUCGUCACAAAUAGUAUGCUUGAGGACUUUGUGAAGACUGGCUAUCUGCCAAAGAAGGAAGUUAUGUCAUAUCGUGCUCCUGACCCCACAUAAGAAAAACCUUAGCCCAAAGAGGGGGAGGUCAUCGUCUUCACUAACCAUAUGAACUAGGGUUUUUCACCACCCAGCUCAAAGUUCUUCAGAGACGUCAUGCACUUUUUUGACCUUCGUCCUCAAGACAUCGGACUCAACUCCGUGUCUAAUAUUUGCAACUCUCAAGUGUUUAGUGAGGUGUAUCUUGGAGAAGAGCCCAACUUACUACUCUUCAGAGAGUUAUUUUAUUUGAACCGCCAUAAUGAAUGUGCCAAUGGACCUAGCUUGGAGCUUGGCGGGGUCUCAAUUCAACGACGGAGAGACGCCAUUUUUCCUUAUGCAAAUCCACCAAGUCACCCCAAAGACUGGAACCAGACAUGGUUCUAUUGCCAAGACACUUCUUCGGCUGAUGAGAACCCUUUGCCCGGCUUUCACGCUCUGCGUCUUGAUUCCAAUCAUCCGCUUCCUGAUAAGGUGACAACCGCCGAACGCCAGACGCUUGCCCCCACCAUAGCUAAAGUCAAGGCUCUUUUGGGGAAUGGGCUAAAUGGUAUCGACUUGGUCCGGGUUUGGUUUGCCUGGCGGGUCAUUCUGUUGAGCCGCUGCUCCGGUUUGAUGUGCACCUAUACGGGCGCGAGGAAUGACCCUCUACGGCACAACGCUGAUGAUUUACCUGAAGACGUCAUCAACGAUAUGACCAAGUCGCUCUUGAACGAGAGCCUAGCAAAUUGUGGCAAGGUGGGCUUAAGCCCUUUCUGCAAAGCUAACCCAGCUCCAGCGGUAAGCCUCCAACCUGAAUACAUUACCUUCAUCUUUUGAUGUUUUGUCUGUGCUCAAGCCUUUGCUGAUUUUCACAGGCUGAUGAUAAAUUCUGGAAGGCUAAGUAUGAUCAUGAGGCUGCGAAGAGAGCCAGGAAGGCCAAGAGAGCCACCAGGAAAGAGGCCACGAAGAAAAGAGGAAAAAAGUCUAGCACUUCUGAGAUGUCUCAACUGGAGGACUCUUCUGAGUCAAAGGUAGCCCUUGACUCUCUUGGCUCAUUUUUUAAUCACCUUAUUGAUACCGAUUAUAAUUAGGAUGACACGGGAACGAGUCAUGGGGUAGAUGAAGAGGUAACUAUUAUUUCCUCCGACUCAGAGCCUUUUCCAAGGCAAAAAAUCCAAAGAGUAACCCGGAAAGUAAGAUUUUCACAUCCCUUAGCUUAUCAAGAUCCUCAAUUUCUUUUGAAGCGACAGAUUCAUGAGAGCCGGAGGCACACCCGGACUAGCAAAAACACGGAACUCUCCUCCGGCUUACCAAAUACACCAAAGAAACACCGGAACGAGGUCACCUCGGAUUUAAAUCCCUUUUAUCCUUUGAUGGCUCUCACUCGUCAACCACUCAACUCUUCUGACUCGAAUUAUCAGGAAACUUCACCUUCCUCCGGCGACUCAAUCCAGUCCAACUUGCCGACUUUCAAGACCGCUCUAGGGUAAUGAUGACUUACUUACCCUGUAUUCACUUCAAUUUUUUAUAUUUGUACUGAUCUUUUGAUCUUAUGCAACGGAAAGCAAAGCCCAUCAAAAAGGCGAAGAAGAACAAGCCGACCGAAGAGCCGAUCUUCAAAGAGCCGGAACUCCAGACGGCCGCGCCUAAGGCCUCUGUUCUUGAGCUGCCACCUGAACCGGCUCAUGACACGCCGACGCUGUCGGUGUCAAAACCGGCGGAUCUCAGGUAGGGGGUCCUGAACUGUGCGUCUAAGGCUAAUGGUAGCAGGAGGCGGGGGACACAAUGUUUACCCAGGUUCGGGCCCUCUCUAUGGAGGUAAUACCCUACUUCCUGCUUGAUUGAUCUUGAUGAUAUGAGUAUUACAAGAGUUGAUCUACCACGAUAUCAUAGAUGCUAAACCCUAGAAGCUAGCCUAUGAUUAUGAUUGUUGUUGUCAUACGGACUAAACCCUCCGGUUUAUAUAGACACCGGAGGGGGCUAGGGUUACACAGAGUCGGUUACAGAGAAGGAAAUCUACAUAUUCGAAUUGCCAAGCUUGCCUUCCACGCAAAGGAGAGUCCCACUGUCGGUGUCAAAACCGGCGGAUCUCGGGUAGGGGGUCCCGAACUGUGCGUCUAGGCGGAUGGUAACAGGAGACGAGGGACACGAUAUUUUUACCCAGGUUCAGGCCCUCUUGAUGGAGGUAAAACCCUACAUCCUGCUUGAUUAAUAUUGAUGAUGUGGGUUACAAGAGUAGAUCUACCACGAGAUCAAGGAGGCUAAACCCUAGAAGCUAGCCUAUGGUAUGAUUGUUGUUCGUCCUAUGGACUAAAGCCAUCCGGUUUAUAUAGACACCGGAGAGGGCUAGGGUUACAUAGAGUCGGUUACAAUGGUAGGAGAUCUACAUAUCCGUAUCGCCAAGCUUGCCUUCCACGCCAAGGAAAGUCCCAUACGGACAUGGGACGAAGUCUUAAAUCUUGUAUCUUCAUAGUCUUGGAGUCCGGCCGAUGAUGGUAGUUCGGCUAUUCGGACACCCCCUAGUCUGGGACUCCCUUAGUAGCCCCUGAACCAGGCUUCAAUGACGACGAGUCCGGCGCGCAUGUUGUCUUCGGCAUUGCAAGGCGGGUUCCUCCUCCGAAUAAUUUAUAGAAGAUUGUGAACACCAGGAUAGUGUCCGGCUCUGCAAAAUAAAUUCCACAUACAACCGUAGAGAGAAUAAUAUUACACAAGUUCAAUCUGCUGACGUAUUUUGUGGCGUAACUGUUGGGGAAUGUAGCAGAAAUUCAAAAUUUUCCUACGUAUCACCAAGAUCUAUCUAUGGAGAGACCAGCAACGAGUAGAAAGGAGAGUGCAUCUACAUACCCUUGUAGAUCGCUAAGCGGAAGCGUUCAAGUGAACGGGGUUGAUGCAGUCGUACUCAUCGUGAUUCAGAUCACCGAUGAUCCUAGUGCCGAACGGACGGCACCUCCGCGUUCAACACACGUACAGCUCGACGAUGUCUCCCACGCCUUGAUCCAGCAAGGAGAGAGGGAGAGGUUGAGGAAGACUCCAUCCAGCAGCAGCACAACAGCGUGGUGGUGAUGGAGGAGCGUGGCAAUCCUGCAGGGCUUCGCCAAGCACCUACGGGAGAGGAGGAGGUGUCACGGGAGGGAGGGAGGCGCCAAGGGCUCAGGUAUAGAUGCCCUCCCUCCCCUCCACUAUAUAUAGGGGCAGGGGAGAGGGGGGAGGCGCAGCCUUGCCCCUUCCUCCAAGAAAGGGGUGCGGCUAAGAGGGGGGGAGGAGUCCAUCCUCCCCAAGGCACCUCGGAGGUGCCUUCCCCCUUGAGGACUCUUCCCUCUAGGGUUCCCUAGGCUCAUGGGCCUCUUGGGGCUGGUGCCCUUGGCCCAUGUAGGCCAAGGCGCACCCCCUACAGCCCAUGUGCCCCCCCGGGGCAGGUGGCCCCACCCGGUGGGCCCCCGGGACCCUUCCGGUGGUCCCGGUACAAUACCGAUGACCCCGAAACUUGUCCCGAUGGCCGAAACAGGACUUCCUAUAUAUAAAUCUUUACCUCCGGACCAUUCCGGAACUCCUCGUGACGUCCAGGAUCUCAUCCGGGACUCCGAACAACAUUCGGUAACCACAUACAAGCUUCCUUUAUAACCCUAGCGUCAUCGAACCUUAAGUGUGUAAACCCUACGGGUUCGGGAGACAUGCAGACAUGACCGUGACGUUCUCCGGUCAAUAACCAACAGCGGGAUCUGGAUACCCAUGUUGGCUCCCACAUGUUCCACGAUGAUCUCAUCGGAUGAACCACGAUGUCAAGGACUCAAUCGAUCCCGUAUACAAUUCCCUUUGUCUAGCGGUAUUUUACUUGCCCGAGAUUCGAUCGUCGGUAUACCGAUACCUUGUUCAAUCUCGUUACCGGCAAGUCUCUUUACUCGUUACGUAACACAUCAUCCCGUGAUCAACCCCUUGGUCACAUUGUGCACAUUAUGAUGAUGUCCUACCGAGUGGGCCCAGAGAUACCUCUCCGUUUACACGGAGUGACAAAAUCCCAAUCUCGAUUCGUGCCAACCCAACAGACACUUUCAGAGACACCCGUAGUGUACCUUUAUAGCCACCCAGUUACGUUGUGACGUUUGGCACACCCAAAGCACUCCUACGGUAUCCGGGAGUUGCACAAUCUCAUGGUCUAAGGAAAUGAUACUUGACAUUAGAAAAGCUUUAGCAUACGAACUACAUGAUCUUGUGCUAGGCUUAGGAUUGGGUCUUGUCCAUCACAUCAUUCUCCUAAUGAUGUGAUCCCGUUAUCAACGACAUCCAAUGUCCAUGGUCAGGAAACCGUAACCAUCUAUUGAUUAACGAGCUAGUCAACUAGAGGCUUACUAGGGACAUGGUGUUGUCUAUGUAUCCACACAUGUAUCUGAGUUUCCUAUCAAUACAAUUCUAGCAUGGAUAAUAAACGAUUAUCAUGAACAAGGAAAUAUAAUAAUAAUCAAUUUAUUAUUGCCUCUAUGGCAUAUUUCCAACAGUCUCCCACUUGCACUAGAGUCAAUAAUCUAGUUCACAUCUAUAUGUGAUUAACACUCAAGGUCACAUCCCCAUGUGACUAACACCCAAAGAAUUUACUAGAGUCAAUAAUCUAGUUCACAUUUACCAUGUGAUUAACACUCGAUGAGGUCUGGGUUUGAUCAUGUUAUGCUUGUGAGAGAGGUUAUAGUCAACGGGUCUGAACCUUUCAGAUCCGUGUGUGCUUUACAAAUCUCUAUGUCAUCUCCUAGAUGCAGCUACCACGUUCUAUUUGGAGCUAUUCCAAAUAACUGUUCUACUUGGAGCUAUUCUAAAUUGUUGCUCCAUUAUACUAUCCGGUAUCUCUACUCAGAGCUAUCCGGAUAGGUGUUAAGCUUGCAUCGACAUAACCCUUUACGACGAACUCUUUUACCACCUCCACAAUUGAGAAAAUUCCUUAGUCCACUAGUUACUAAGGAUAACUUUGACCGCUGUCCUGUGAUCCAUUCUUGGAUCACUCUUGUACCCCUUGACUGACUCAUGGUAAAGCACACUUCAGGUGCGGUACACAACAUAGCAUACUGUAGAGCCUAUGUCUUAAGCAUAGGGGACGACCUUCGUUCCUUUCUCUCUAUUCUGCCAUGGUCGAGCUUUAAGUCUUAACUUCAUACCUUACAACUCAGGCAAGAACUCCUUCUUUGACUGAUCCAUCUUGAACACCUUCAAUAUCACGUCAAGGCAUGUGCUCAUUUGAAAGUACUAUUAAGCGUUUUGAUCUAUCCUUAUAGAUCUUGAUGCUCAAUGUUCAAGUAGCUUAAUCCAGGUUUUCCAUUGAAAACACUUUCCAAAUAACCCUAUAUGCUUUCCAGAAAUUCUACGUCAUUUCUGAUCAUUAAUAUGUCAACAACAUAUACUCAUCAAAAAUUCUAUAGUGCUCCCACUCACUUCUUUGGAAAUACAAGUUUCUCAUAAACUUUGUAUACACCCAAAAUCUUUGAUCAUCAUCAAAGCAUACAUUCCAACUCCGAGAUGCUCACUCCAGUCCUCAGAAGGAUUGCUGGAGCUUUGCAUACUUAUUAGCAUAUUUCAGGAUAGACAAAACCUUCCGGUUGUAUCACAUACAACCUUUCCUCAAGAAUCGUCGAGGAAACAAUGUUUUUGACAUCCUAUCUGCAAGAUUUCAUAAAUAAUGCAGUAAUUGCUAAUAUAAUUCCAACAGACUCUUAGCAUCGCUACGAGUGAGAAAGUCUCAUCGUAGUCAACUCCUUGAACUUGUCGAAAAACAUCUUAACGACAAGUCGAGCUUUCUCAAUGGUGACACUUACCAUCAUUGUCUGUCUUCCUUUCAAAAUCCAUAUGUACCUAACAGCCUUACGACCAUCAAGUAGUUCUUCCAAAGUCUACACUUUGUUUUCAUACAUGGAUCCUCUCUCGGGUUUUAUGGCCUUGAGCCAUUUAUCGGAAUCCGGGCCCACCAUCGCUUCUCCAUAGCUUGUAGGUUCAUUGUUGUCUAACAACAUGACUUCCAAGACAGGAUUACGUACCACUCUGAAGUAGUACGCAUCCUUGUCAUCCCACGAGGUUUGGUAGUGACUCGAUCCGAAGUUUCAUGAUCACUAUCAUAAGCUUCCACUUCAGUUGGUGUACGUGCCACAGGAACAACUUCCUGUGCCCUGCUACACACUUGUUGAAGUGACGGUUCAAUAACCUCAUCAAGUCUCCACCAUCCUCCCACUCAACUUUUCGAGAGAAACCUUUCCUCGAAAAAGGACCCGAUUCAAGAAACAAUCCCUAUUGCUUUCGGAUCUGAAACAGGAGGUAUACCCAACUGUUUUGGGUGUCCUAUGAAGAUGCAUUUAUCCGCUUUGGGUUCGAGCUUAUCAGCCUGAAACCUUUCCACAUAAGCAUCGCAGCCCCAAACUUCUAAGAAAUGACAGCUUAGGUUUCUCUAAACCAUAAUUCAUACGGUGUCAUCUCAACGGAAUUACGUGGUGCCCUAUUUAAAGUGAAUGUGGUUGUCUCUAAUGCCUAACCCAUAAACUAUAGUGGUACUUCGAUAAGAGACAUCAUGGUAUGCAUCAUAUCCAAUAGGGUGCAGUUAUGAUGUUCGGACACACCAUCACACUAUGGUGUUCCAGGCUGUAUUAGUUGUGAAACAAUUUCCACAAUGUCUUAAUUCUGUGCCAAACUCGUGAUUCAGAUAUUCAUCUCUAUGAUCAUAUCAUAGAUCUUUUAUCCUCUUGUCACAACGAUCUUUCGACUUCACACUGAAAUUACUUGAACCUUUCAAUAAUUCAGACUCGUGAUUCAUCAAGUAAAUAUACUCAACAUCUACUCGAAUCAUCUGUGAAGUAAGAACAUAACGAUAUUCACUGCAUGCCUCAGCACUCAUUGGACUGCACACAUCAAAAUGUGUUACUUCCAACAAGUUGCUUUCUUUUUCCAUCUUACUGAAAACGAGGCUUUUCAGUCAUCUUGCCCAUGUGGUAUGAUUUGCAUGUCCCAAGUGAUUCAAAAUCAAGUGAGUCAAAAUGGUCCAUUUGCAUGGAGUUUCUUCAUGCAUAUACACCAAUAGACAUGGUUCGCAUGUCUCAAACUUUUCAAAAACGAGUGAGCCCAAAGAUCCAUCAAUAUGGAGCUUCUUCAUGCGUUUUAUACCGAUAUGACUUACGUGGCAGUGCCACAAGUAGGUGGUACUAUCAUUACUAUCUUUUGGCAUGAACAUGUGUAUCACUACGAUCGAGAUUUAAUAAACCAUUCAUUUUAGGUGUAAGACCAUUGAAGGUAUUAUUCAAAUAAACAGAGUAACCAUUAUUCUCCUUAAAUGAAUAACCGUAUUGCGAUAGACGUAAUCCAAUCAUAUCUAUGCUCAACGCAAACACCAAAUAACAAUUAUUUAGGUUUAACACCAAUCUCUUUGGUAGAGGGAGCGUGCGAUGCUUGAUCAUAUCAAGCUUGGAAAAACUUCCAACACAUAUCGUUAGCUCACCUUUAGCUAGUCUCCGUUUAUUCUGUAGCCUUUUGUUUCGAGUUACUAACACUUAGCAACCGAACCGGUAUCUAAUACCCUGGUGCUACUAGGAGUACUAGCAAAGUACACAUUAACACAAUGUAUAUGCAAUAUACUUCUAUCCACCUUGCCAGCCUUCUUAUCUACCAAGUAUCUAGGGUAAUUCUGCUCUAGUGGUUGUUCCCCUUAUUACAGAAGCACUUAUUCUCGGGUAUGGGUUCAACCUUGGGUUUCUUCACUAGAGCAGCAGCUGAUUUGCCGUUUCAUGAAGUAUCCCUUCUUGCCCUUGCCCUUCUUGAAACUAGUGGUUUCACCAACCAUCAAUAAUUGAUGCUCCUUCUUGAUUCCUACUUUCGCGGUGUCAAACAUCGUGAAUACCUCAAGGAUCAUCAUAUCUAUCCUUGAUAUGUUAUAGUUCAUCACGAAGCUCUAACAGCUUGGUGGCAAUGACUUUGGAGAAACAUCACUAUCUCAUCUGGAAGAUCAACUCCCACUCGAUUCAAAUGAUUGUUGUACUCAGACAAUCUGAGCACAAGCUCAACAAUUGAGCUUUUCUCCUUAGUUUGCAGGUUAAGAAAAUCGUCGGAGGUCUUAUACCUCUUGACGUGAGCACGAGCUUGAAAUCCCAAUUUUAGCCCUCGAAACAUCUCAUAUGUUUCGUGAUGUUUCAAAAACGUCUUUGGUGCCUCAACUCUAAACCGUUUAACUGAACUAUCACGUAGUUAUCAAAACGUGUAUGUCAGAUGUUCGCAACAACCACAGACAACGUUCGAGGUUCAGCACACUGAGCGGUGCAUUAAGGACAUAAGCCUUCUAUGAAGCAAUAAGGACAAUCCUCAGUUUACGGACCUAGUCCGCAUAAUUGCUACUAUCAACUUUCAACUAAUUUUUCUCUAGGAACAUAUCUAAACAGUAGAACUAUAGCGUGAGCUACGACAUAAUUUGCAAAAACCUUUUGACUAUGUUCAGGAUAAUUAAGUUCAUCUUAUGAACUCCCACUCAGAUAGACAUCCCUCUAGUCAUCUAAGUGAUUACAUGAUCCGAGUCAAACUAGGCCAUGUCCGAUCAUCACGUGAGACGAACUAGUCAUCAUCGGUGAACAUCUUCAUGUUGAUCGUAUCUUCUAUACGACUCAUGUUCGACCUUUCGGUCUCCGUGUUCCGAGGCCAUGUCUGUACAUGCUAGGCUCGUCAAGUUAACCCUAAGUGUUUCGCGUGUGUAAAUCUGUCUUACACCCGUUGUAUGUGAAUGUUAGAAUCUAACACCCGAUCAUCACGUGGUGCUUCGAAACACGAACUGUCGCAACGGUGCACAGUUAGGGGAGAACACUUCUUGAAAUUGUUGUAAGGGAUCAUCUUAUUUACUACCGUCGUUCUAAGCAAAUAAGAUGUAUAAACAUGAUAAACAUCACAUGCAAUCAAAUAGUGACAUGAUAUGGCCAUCAUCACUUUGCUCCUUUUGAUCUCCAUCUUCGGGGCUCCAUGAUCAUCAUCGUCACCGGCAUGACACCAUGAUCUCCAUCAUCAUGAUCUCCAUCAUCGUGUCUUCAUGAAGUUGCCUCGCCAACUAUUACUUCUACUACUAUGGCUAACAGUUAGCAAUAAAGUAAAGUAAUUACAUGACGUUUAAGUUGACACGCAGGUCACAAAUAAAUAAAGACAACUCCUAUGGCUCCUGCCGGUUGUCAUACUCAUCGACAUGCAAGUCGUGAUUCCUAUUACAAGAACAUGAUCAAUCUCAUACAUCACAUAUAUCAUUCAUCACAUCCUUUUUUUUGGCCAUAUCACAUCACAUAGCAUACCCUGCAAAAACAAGUUAGACGUCCUCUAAUUGUUGUUUGCAUGUUUUACGUGGCUGCUAUGGGUUUCUAGCAAGAACGUUUCUUACCUACGCAUGAACCACAACGUGAUAUGCCAAUUGCUAUUUACCCUUCAUAAGGACCCUUUUCAUCGAAUCCGAUCCGACUAAAGUGGGAGAGACAGACACCCGCCAGCCACCUUAUGCAACUAGUGCAUGUUUGUCGGUGGAACCGGUCUCACGUAAGCGUACGUGUAAGGUUGGUCCGGGCCGCUUCAUCCCACGAUGCCGCCGAAUCAAGAUAAGACUAGUAACGGCAAGCAUAUUGAACAAUAUCGACACCCACAACUACUUUGUGUUCUACUCGUGCAAAGAAUCUACGCAAUAGACCUAGCUCAUGAUGCCACUGUUGGGGAACAUAGCAGAAAUUCAAAAUUUUCCUACGUAUCACCAAGAUCUAUCUAUGGAGAGACCAGCAACGAGUAGAAAGGAGAGUGCAUCUACAUACCCUUGUAGAUCGCUAAGCGGAAGCGUUCAAGUGAACGGGGUUGAUGGAGUCGUACUCGUCGUGAUUCAGAUCACCGAUGAUCCUAGUGCCGAACGGACGGCACCUCCGCGUUCAACACACGUACAGCUCGACGAUGUCUCCCACGCCUUGAUCCAGCAAGGAGAGAGGGAGAGGUUGAGGAAGACUCCAUCCAGCAGCAGCACAACGGCGUGGUGGUGAUGGAGGAGCGUGGCAAUCCUGCAGGGCUUCGCCAAGCACCUACGGGAGAGGAGGAGGUGUCACGGGAGGGAGGGAGGCGCCAAGGGCUCAGGCAGCCUUGCCCCUUCCUCCAAGAAAGGGGUGUUGCUAAGAGGGGGGGAGGAGUCCAUCCUCCCCAAGGCACCUCGGAGGUGCCUUCCCCCUUGAGGACUCUUCCCUCUAGGGUUCCCUAGGCGCAUGUGCCUCUUGGGGCUGGUGCCCUUGGCCCAUGUAGGCCAAGGCGCACCCCCUACAGCCCAUGUGCCCCCCCGGGGCAGGUGGCCCCACCCGGUGGGCCCCCGAGACCCUUCCGGUGGUCCCGGUACAAUACCGAUGACCCCGAAACUUGUCCCGAUGGCCGAAACAGGACUUCCUAUAUAUAAAUCUUUACCUCCGGACCAUUCCGGAACUCCUCGUGACGUCCGGGAUCUCAUCCGGGACUCCGAACAACAUUCGGUAACCACAUACAAGCUUCCUUUAUAACCCUAGCGUCAUCGAACCUUAAGUGUGUAGACCCUACGGGUUCGGGAGACAUGCAGACAUGACCGUGACGUUCUCCGGUCAAUAACCAACAGCGGGAUCUGGAUACCCAUGUUGGCUCCCACAUGUUCCACGAUGAUCUCAUCGGAUGAACCACGAUGUCAAGGACUCAAUCGAUCCCGUAUACAAUUCCCUUUGUCUAGCGGUAUUUUACUUGCCCGAGAUUCGAUCGUCGGUAUACCGAUACCUUGUUCAAUCUCGUUACCGGCAAGUCUCUUUACUCGUUCCGCAACACAUCAUCCCGUGAUCAACCCCUUGGUCACAUUGUGCACAUUAUGAUGAUGUCCUACCGAGUGGGCCCAGAGAUACCUCUCCGUUUACACGGAGUGACAAAAUCCCAAUCUCGAUUCGUGCCAACCCAACAAACACUUUCAGAGACACCCGUAGUGUACCUUUAUAGCCACCCAGUUACGUUGUGACGUUUGGCACACCCAAAGCACUCCUACGGUAUCCGGGAGUUGCACAAUCUCAUGGUCUAAGGAAAUGAUACUUGACAUUAGAAAAGCUUUAGCAUACGAACUACAUGAUCUUGUGCUAGGCUUAGGAUUGGGUCUUGUCCAUCACAUCAUUCUCCUAAUGAUGUGAUCCCGUUAUCAACGACAUCCAAUGUCCAUGGUCAGGAAACCGUAACCAUCUAUUGAUUAACGAGCUAGUCAACUAGAGGCUUACUAGGGACAUGGUGUUGUCUAUGUAUCCACACAUGUAUCUGAGUUUCCUAUCAAUACAAUUCUAGCAUGGAUAAUAAACGAUUAUCAUGAACAAGGAAAUAUAAUAAUAAUCAAUUUAUUAUUGCCUCUAGGGCAUAUUUCCAACAGUAACGUCACACCACCACCAAGCCUUCAAAUUGUUUUUAUUGUUCCAUCUCAGCGUGUUUAGCGAGGCGGUUUUCUUGGCACGUCUUGUCGAAGCAGAGAUCGUGUUCCCCUUAUUCCAGGAUUCCCAUCAAUACGGACGUGGGUAACCCAACCGCGCCAUUGAUUGCGGUGCUUGGGAGAUAAGUGAGUUUUAUCAGGCCGGUGGGGACGCAUGUUUCCGUCCGCCCAUAUAAGGGGAUAAAGAUCCAACCUUUUUUACCCGCGCCUUCUUCCUCCUUGGCUUAUCCAUCUCCGCGAACUCGAGCUCUAGCGCCCAAGCCCGCACAUCUCACCUCAACCUUCUCCAAAUAUGUCCAGAGCGGGAGGCAAGUGGAUGGACUCCUCCGUCACAGAGGGGCAUAUCCAGAAGCUGCGCAGCACCGGAUACUUGUCCAGCGACAUCGCACAUCGGCUCCCCGACGAGGGAGAGCUCAUCCCCACCCCUAGGCCCCAUGAGAGGGUAGUAUUCCUUCCCCAUUUCCUCUGCGGACUGGGCUUCCCACUUCAUCCCUUUGUCCGGGGGCUCAUGUUCUACUACGGCCUAGAUUUCCAUGAUCUGGCCCCGAAUUUUAUCCUCAACAUCUCGGCGUUUAUCAUCGUGUGCGAGGCCUUCCUCUGCAUCCGGCCCGACUUCGGCUUGUGGCUCAAGACCUUCAGUGUCAAGCCGAAGGUUGUGAAGGGCAGCCAAGUGGAGUGCGGAGGCGCCAUGGUGGGCAGGAUGUCCCACGUUACGUGGCUGGAGGGUACUUUCGUGGAAACCAUUAAGGGGUGGCAAUCGGGGUGGUUCUACAUCACCGAGCCGCGUGACCCUGAUUGGGCAACGGCCCCCGAAUUUAGAUCCGGUAUCCCUACACGGCUCACCUCCUGGAAAGAGAGUGGCCGGAUCUGGGGGGAUUCGCAGGACUGACCGGACUCCGAGCCUGUAUCCAGAAGCUGGUGGACAAGAAGCUCAAGCUUGUCAACGUAGUCUAGGUCAUGCUCAUCCGCCGGAUUCUCCCGUGCCAACGACGAGGCUUCAACAUGUGGGAGUUCGAUCCGGCGCAGCACCAGACUUUGAAUGGGCUCUUCGACACUACGUACGAAGAGGUCUGGAAGGUGCUGUUCAAGGGCGCCGAGGCUCCCUCAUCCACUACCGAAGAUCGCGGAUUCAGCUCGCAGCGUCCAGCUGACGAGGUAAGUGAUAUUGUCCUUUACGGGACGCUUGUUAUUCAUAGUUUGACUCUAUGCGGGAUCUAAACUCCCUUUCCUUUGACAGGACUGGCUGAAGAAGGCCGCACAGGCUAUCUGUCCGGCCCCAUUGCCAGACGACCCAACUGACGCCCGCCUAACGGGGCUGCUGGCUCCGGCACCCCACGUGGUGUCGGAGAAGAAGGCCAAGAAGAAGGCCACGGGGACUCGGAAGAGUUCCCGUUUUCAGGUGCUAUUGGACGAUGAAUCCGAGGCCGACUCCUCCCACCAAGGCGAGGAGGAGAAGAAGAAAGCCUCUCCCCCAGCGGGGGGAGGGAAGAAAAGGAAGGCCUCCCCAACAAGGGAGGCCGAAGGGUCCAAGAGGGGAAAAACUCUUCCCCCGGACUGUUCAGCCAAUGCUAGUGACGACGACAAGGACUGGCCUCCAAGGGCCAAGCCUCUAGCGAGAUCAUAAGUAUCCGGACUCCCGAAUAACUUCAAGGUUUUCAUUUUCCGCCACAUUAUGUCUUUCUAAUGCCGCAUACAACCCUGCAGUCCGCCUAAGGAUGAUCUCCCCACUUCGUCGAGUGGGUCCUUAGGGUCGUCGGAUAUGGAUUCUCUUCCGACUGCCUCCACCCCCCGUGAUGCGGACGAUACCGAGGUGGGAUCCCAGGAAGGGAUCCACUAGGAGGAGAGGGCCCUGGAGGUGUUGCAGGACAACCUCCCGGACUUUGCACCGGACUCAGCCCCGGAACCCAUAGUGGCUCCGGAGUCCGGCGGGCGACCCCUUCGUAAGAAGGGCAAGACCGCGACGCCGGCUACCUCCGUCCAACCGGAGGUGCCGGAUAAUUUGCUAGAGGCGCUCAAUAGCGCCUCUAUUAAAGAGGAACACCGCACUGUUAUGAGUGCGGUGAUUCAGAAAGUUCAGCUCGCCAAGAACGGGCUGACCGAAGCCUGCAGCAGCCUUCUAACAGGCUUUGAGGUAAGAAUUUCAAUAUAUGUAAAAUGGUACUGCAUAGACAGUAGCCCCUGAUGCUCGGUUCGGUGGUCAGAAAGAAAAGCCGGACUGAGGAUCUUUAGAAAGAUAAACCCAGGAGUCAUGAAAAUAUGUCAAUAUGGGAUUGCAGGCUGUGCUACUAACCUCUGCCGCACUGACUGCGGAGGUCAAGACUUUGAAGGAAAACCUCGAGCGGUCCGAGAACGAGCUCGGCCAUGCCAAGAAGCAGCUCGAGGAAGAAGAAGGUGAGUAAUACCUUAUGAAAAUUGUACCUUACAGAAAAGGAUUUGGUUGCAAGAAAAAUGACAAGGAUAACUGGGGUAUUGUAGGGGCCACUAACGAGGUGGCGACCCUGAAGGAGGCGAUGGCCGCGGCCGAACGCAAUGCGGCUGUGGAGCGCACCGAGCGAGAGAAACAGGAGGCGCGGGUGGCGGAGGUACAGCAAGAGCUCCAGGAUCUCGUGAGGAAACAUGAGAGCCUGGAGCGUGACUCAAAGACUCGAGAGUCUGAGCUUGCAACGGCUCUUGAGAGUGCCAAAGCCGCUAAGGCCGAAGCCUACAAGGCCCUCCAGGAGAUCGAGGCGGUAAAGAAAAUAGCAGCGGGUAAGGCAUUUUUCAUGCAAAGUAAGCAUGUGAGUGUUAAUUACCUGUCGCUUACCCGAAUUCGGAGCUCUCCAGGAGCGUUCGCAGAUCUUCCUCGCAGCGUGUCCGAUGCUGCCGCAUUCUACCGGGCCGAGGAGGGGAGCUCAACGGAGAAGGUCUUUUGGUCUCAGUAUGCUGAGGCCGAACAUCCGGUGCCCCUUAGCGACCAGCUGAAGCAGCUGGUCGAGCUCCACAAGGCAGCCGAACAGGCCAUGAAGGGCCUCAUAGUUCGGCUGUGGCCUAAGGAGGCCAUGCCUGGGAGCUACUUCGGCCUGGUGCGGCGGCUGGUGGAUGCGUGCCCGUGGGUUGAAGUCAUCAAGCACUCCGCCUGUAUUGAAGGUGCCCGUCAGGCCCUUGCCCGCGCAAAGGUGCACUGGGGCAAGAUGGAUGCCCAGAAGCUUGUGAUGGACCCACCACCAGAGGGCAAGGAGCAUCGCACGCCCAAGAUGUAUUAUAGGAGUGUGCUGAAGGGCGCCCACAUUAUUGCGGGUGAGUGCUCCAAAGAAGAAGUUUUUGAGUAGACUCGUGUUUUGUCAUCCUGUGCGCUGAAAACUAAGUUCAUAUGCGCGAAGCAACACUUGUUAAUUUAAAAUAUUACCUUCUGUGCGGCUGUUUAUCAAAUCUGAGAGAUGGCAAGUCGUCGGCUUCAGAUCCCAUGCCACGAGUGCUGGGGUGUUCGGGAUAAAUUUGGGCACUCUUGUUCCCAUAUUUGGGUCCAUUGAGGGAGGCGCUCAACACAACGAACAAGGCAACCAGACUUAUAAUGCUUGAACACUCUCACUUAGCCAUAGAAUUCUAUAAUUUUAAAUUUCGGCGAAGCCCCUAGUUUUCGGAAGGCCGAAUUUGGGGCGCUAUCCACGCCUUGGCCGGACAGAAUCCGACUCCUCGCUCGAAGCGGCAUAAGUCUUUAGGGACUCGCAAAGAACCUCUCGAACAGCGACCAGCUCUCGCCUCAUCAUGACGGUCAAUUUUAGCUUUGUCCACUGAGGUGUUAACCCAGCUCAACUGGGGCGCAAUCGCAGUGGUUCUCCCAGUGCUACCUUAGCCGAUAAAACGGAACGUAAGGUACCAAAACAUGGGAGCCGGGCAAACCCAACUAUUGACCCAAGAACAUGAUUCGGAGCCGAUGCAUAUAAUGCUAUAAGUUCGGGGUGCCGCACUUGUGAAAGUGUUCGGACUUAUCACACCAUAACACGGGAAACAUAAGCCCCUAGUGUAUUUAGCCGUACCAAAACAUACGGAUGCAACAUGUCAUAGAUGAACAUAUGUGUAAGAAAGAAAUGCAAUUGGAAGGAAAAAUGUGCUGCAUUGCUUUAUUCAAAUAAAAACUGCUGUAAAUGCAGGACAAUACAAGUGGUGCGGUAAGCAAGGGAUGGGACUGUUUAACAUGUCCCCCUCCAGGGGUAGGCUACGGAAUAAUGCAUAAAACAUAUUUAAUGCUCAUAAUGGAGACCACCUGGAUUUUCGUUGUAGCCUUUCUCCUUCCCUGGCUGUUGUAUCGUGGAUUCGGCAUGUCUGCUGCCGGACAGGGCCUCUGACGAACGGAGUCCUGUAGGUAAAAAAUAAAAGGAAAAGAAAAAGAAACGGCACACUUAAGAGCCCCUGGUGCGGUUGAGCCGCAGUUUGGGCUUAUCGUGGUCGAGCCCCUUGCCCCAUGCCCAUGGCAUCUUCAGAGCGUAAUGGAGUACGUGAAGGGUCUGUCUUAAUGUUUUACAGGGGCUGGGGUUGGGGCCGCACUGCUACACGUGCUCGGAACGUGCCAGGUGGUCGUGUUGUAGGUUACUCCGGGCACGCUUAGCUGUGUCCGGCCGCUUGGCAGCCGGACUCGAGAAUUGCCUAAAAAGGCUGCUUUGUACUUCUGCCGCGAGAGCUGCUGUAUGUUCCUCCGUUCGGAGGGAGCAUUCAGUGUUUCCGUUGACGGUGAUGACUCCUCUAGAGCCUGGCAUCUUGAGCUUGAGGUAUGCGUAGUGCGGCACCGCGUUGAACUUUGCGAACGCGGUACGUCCGAGCAAGGCAUGAUAGCCGCUGCGGAACGGGACUAUGUCGAAGAUUAAAUCCUCGCUUCGGAAGUUAUCCGGGGAUCCGAAGACCACUUCCAGUGUAACUGAGCCUGUACAAUUGGCUUCUAGACCUGGUAUGACGCCUUUAAAGGUCGUCUUGGUAGGUUUAAUCCUUGAGGGGUCUAUGCCCAUUUUGCGCACCACGUCCGAUAAAGCAGGUUUAGGCUGCUGCCGCCGUCCAUCAGGACUCUGGUAAGAUGAAAUUCAUCGACGGUUGGGUCUAGAACCAAUGUGGCGAACCCACCAUGGCGAAUGCUGGUGGGGUGGUCCCUUCGGUCAAAGGUGAUCGGGCAAGAGGACCAUGGAUUGAACUUCGGGGCAACUGGCUCCAUCGCGUAUACAUCCCUGAGUGCACACUUCCGCUCCCUUUUGGGUAUGUGCGUGGCAUAUAUCAUGUUCACCAUCCGCACCUGUGGGGGGAAACCCUUCUAUCCUCUAUUGUUCGGCGGUCGGGUCUCUUCCUCGUCGUUGCUAUGUAGCCCCUUGUCGCUGUUUUCGGCAAUUAACUUGCCUGCCUGCUUGAACACCCAACAGUUCCUAUUGGUGUGGUUAGCUGGUUUUUCAGGGGUGCCAUGUAUCUGGCACAAGUGGUCGAGAAUUCGGUCCAAAUUGGACGGACCCUGAGUUGUUCUUUUGAAUGCCUUUUUCCAUUGACCGGGUGUAGAGCCUCUGAAUCCGGCAUUGACUGCCGUAUCCUCACUGUUAUCGCCGUUAAUGCGGUGUUUGUUUGUGUUGCGACGCGACCUGCCACUACGGUCCUUGAUAUCCGGACUGCCAGAAUUUUUGUUGAGGUUGUUGCUGCGUGCUAGCCAGCUGUCCUCACCCGCACAAAAGCGGGUCAUGAGUGAUGUAAGGGCUGCCAUGGAUUUUGGCUUUUCCUGUCCCAGGUGACGGGCAAGCCACUCGUCGCGGAUGUUAUGUUUGAAGGCCGCGAGGGCCUCGGCAUCCGGGCAGUCGACGAUUUGGUUUUUCUUGGUUAAGAACCGUGUCCAGAAUUGUCUGGCCGAUUCGUCUGGCUGCUGAAUUAUGUGGCUUAGGUCAUCUGCAUCUGGUGGUCGCACGUACGUGCCUUGGAAGUUAUCGAGGAAUGCGGCUUCUAGGUCCUCCCAACUUCCGAUUGACUCUGCUGGCAAGCUGUUAAGCCAGUGCCGGGCUGGUCCUUUAAGUUUGAGUGGGAGAUAUUUGAUGGCGUGGAGAUCGUCUCCGCGGGCCAUGUGGAUGUGGAGGAGAUAGUCCUCGAUCCAGACCGCGGGGUCUGUUGUGCCAUCAUAAGAUUCAAUAUUGACGGGUUUAAACCCUUCUGGGAUUUGAUGAUCCAUUACCUCAUCUGUGAAGCACAGUGGGUGUGCGGCGCCUCUGUACUGGGCGAUAUCGCGACGGAGCUCAAAAGAGCUUUGUCUGUUGUGUUCGGCCCGACCGGACUUAUUGUGUCCGGGGUGACGGUGAUCGUCACGUAUCGUGGGGCGCCCACGUGAUCCAUAGAUCGAUCUUGAUUGUUUUGCCUUAUCCUCCAAUAUGUCUCGCAGGUCCGGAGUGUUCCCCUGUGGCCUUGUGCUUUUCGAGCGAUGCCGGGGUACGGGUCUAGUGAAGGGCCUUGAGGCCUCUCUGUCACGACCACGGGGUGGUCGAUCAGCCGUAUUGUCUCCUGGUGAAGCGGGAUCAUAUGCCUCCACCUCUAAUCGGGGGAGCAGCUUACGUUUGGGGUAGCUUUUGGAGGGGCGUUCGAGUUCAUGCUCUUCGGCCGCGAGGACUUCGGUCCAUCUGUCGGCUAGAAGAUCUUGAUCAGCUCUAAGCUGCUGCUGCUUUUUCUUGAGGCUGUUUGCCGUGGCCAUAAGCCUGCGUUUGAAACGCUCCUGUUCGACGGGAUCCUCAGGCACGACGAAUUCGUCGUCGUCGAGGCUUGCCUCGUCUCCGGAGGGAGGCAUAUAGUCCUCUACCUCUUCUUCGGCCGCUCUCUCAUGAAGGCUGGCAUCCCCCUCCUCCUGUGCUGGAUCUUGCCGGAGUGGGUUGUCUUCGGCGCUAUCCGGUGUAUUAUUGUCUCCGGUGCCGGAAUCCUUGUUCUUGCUAUGGCGGGAUUUAGAGCGGCGCCGCUGACGUCGGCGCUUGGGCUGUUUUUGGAGGGGUCAUCCUCCGCUAUUCCUUCAACAUUCCCAUUCAUUGGGAUAUCCACCAUGUAUAUGUCGUAUGACGAGGUGGCUUUCCAGUGCCCGGUGGGCGCUGGUUCUUGGUCGUCUCCGGCAUCGUUGUCCAUACCGUCGAUGUCCUCAGAGUCGUAAUCUAGCAUGUCGGUUAGAUCGUCAACAGUGGCUACCAAGUGGGUGGUGGGUGGGCUCUAAAUUUCUUCGUCGUCCGCAUCCCAACCGUCCUGGCCGCAGUCCGGCCAGGCCUCUCCUGAUAACGAGAGGUACUUUAGCGAACUCAACAUGUCGCCAAAAGGUGAGUGUUGAAAGAUGUCCGCCGCGGUGAACUCCAUGAUCGGCGCCCAAUCGGAUUCGAUUGGAGGGGGCGCGGGAGGUCCGGAGUCUGGCACCUCGGAGUCACGAGCUUCAUGGGGGACAAGAUCGGUGUUCGGCUCUAUCGCCGUAGAGGUUGCAGCCCCCGAGGUGGUGUCUAGCCAUCCAUCCUUGGUCUACGCAGACGACUCCGAGUCGAAGAUCGGAGCGGGUUCGAGUGCGGCCUCCAGGGCACUGUCCGGCUGCAGAGCUAAAUCAUGCCCAUCGUGACAGUACGGCACGCUCGGCUGUGGCUCGAAUCCGUCGAGGAUCAAGUCUCCGCGGAUGUCAGCCAUGAAGUUCAAACUUCCAAAUCUGACCUGACGGCCAGGGGCGUAGCCUUCGAUCUGCUCCAGCUGGCCAAGCGAAUUGGCCCGCAGUGAGAAGCCCCGAAUAUGAAGAUCUGUCCGGGGAGGAAGGUCUCACCCUGGACUGCAUCGUCGUUGAUGAUUGAAGAAGCCAUCGAGCCUAUCGGUGACGACACAGAGGAACUCUCAAUGAAAGCACCAAUGUCGGUGUCAAAACCGGCGGAUCUCGGGUAGGGGGUCCCGAACUGUGCGUCUAGGCGGAUGGUAACAGGAGACGAGGGACACGAUGUUUUUACCCAGGUUCAGGCCCUCUUGAUGGAGGUAAAACCCUACGUCCUGCUUGAUUAAUAUUGAUGAUGUGGGUUACAAGAGUAGAUCUACCACGAGAUCAAGGAGGCUAAACCCUAGAAGCUAGCCUAUGGUAUGAUUGUUGUUCGUCCUAUGGACUAAAGCCAUCCGGUUUAUAUAGACACCAGAGAGGGCUAGGGUUACACAGAGUCGGUUACAAUGGUAGGAGAUCUACAUAUCCGUAUCGCCAAGCUUGCCUUCCACGCCAAGGAAAGUCCCAUCCAGACAUGGGAUGAAGUCUUCAAUCUUGUAUCUUCAUAGUCUUGGAGUCCGGCCGAUGAUGGUAGUUUGGCUAUCCGGACACCCCCUAGUCCGGGACUCCCUCACCAACCCAGACACGGGACGAAGUCUUCAAUCUUGUAUCUUCACAGUCCAACAGUUCGACACAAGUACAUAGUCCGGCUGUCCGAGGACCCCCUAAUCCAGGACUCCCUCAGUAGCCUAUGAACCAGGCUUCAAUGACGAUGAGUCCGGUGCACAGAUUGUCUUCGACAUUGCAAGGUGGGUUCUUCUCCAAAUCCCUGAGUACCUGUUGUAACAAGCAGUGUCCGACUUCCCAUUAAUGUUGCACUCCUCGGCUUCUGUACCUUAAUAAUGGUGGUCCCCAUGUGUCGAGCGAAUGUGAGAAGUCGGGGCAUUUUUACAUUUGCCACCCUGACUAUGUAAGUAAAUCUUCUAUUUAAAGAGACGAGGAUCCUCAGAUCCAAAUCACACCAUCUUUCCCACGCGAGGAUUCAACAGAGCGCGCCCGAAAAAACCAUCCCAUCAUGGCCGGCCGCCGCAGCUCCUCCUCUCACUCCCAUAGCGCUAAGCCAGGUGAUUGGGUGAAGUGCACCGUAUUCCACGGCCAGUUGGUGGAGUUGCAUACCCAAGGGUUCCUCCCGCGUGCAUAUCUUGUCCCCGUCCGAGCCGGAUCAGCCACUUACGAUGGCAGGGAGCAAGCAGAGAGUUUCCCCAACCCAUCCAGGGGGGAGCGUGUAUGCCUUGCCCCUUACUUGCUGAGGGGCCUCAGAUUUCCAAUCCAUCCGUUCCUCCAUGGGCUCCUGGAGUACUACGGCCUCCAGCUGCACAACUUCACUCCUGCCUCCAUACUGCACAUUGUAGGUUAUGUCACCCUCUGUGAGCUAUUUCUGGGCCGUGAAGCUCAUUUCGAGCUAUGGAGGAGGCUAUUCUGCCUCGUCCCUCGCAAUCAGGAGGGAUCAAUAUACCAAGUGGGUGGAGCCGAAAUAUGGCGCAUCACCGGGACCGGAUACCUAUCCGACACUCUGAAGAAGACAUCCGAAGACUGACCUUCGAAGUGGUUUUAUAUAGAGGACGUCCCUUCCGGACCCUAUCUGGAUGGGUCUUCCCGAGUUCACCAAUGCCCCACUAAAGAAACGCCGCAGCUGGCGUCCCCGGAGCCCCCAGGAGGAAGAUAGCAGAGAGGUCCUUUAUGUGAUGGGCAGGAUAAAAACGCUGGCCAAAUCCGGAUUGACAAUAAUUGAGGUUAUGUCAAUAUGCAUAAUGCGGGGGGUGCAGUCACUCCAGCAUCGAGGGCGUCCCAUGUGGUAUUUUAAUGGAGAAGACGAUGCCACCCGUUGCGGUCGGAAAGGUCCGUACUCCGCCACCGCCCUGGCAAAAAUAUUAUCCGAUUUGUAUAAAGGAGAAGAAGAGGAGUUCAUCCGCAUUAAGCCACGGGAUGGGUUUUCCAUGUACAACCCCCUAGCUGGGUGAGCUGCUAUCUUUUACUCAACUCUAUUCAUUCCCGCAUUCUUUCAUCAUAAAUAUUUACCUUGCUAGUUCAUAGCAGGAACUGCAAAAAUCUGUGAGGGAGGUUCACAGCCCGCCUCCACAGCCAGAGGACCACAGUCGGGCCCUCGACCCCGGACUUGAAGAAGAUCCAGACAUAUUUGUGGAGCUCGUCAACAUGAUGUUUUACCAGGCAAGCUGUGACAACGGCUUGGUGGCCAUCAUAGCCGACUAUCCUGGCCUACUCCCUGCAUCAUAUGUAAGUAAAACCAGAGUCCUAAUUUCCGAGAAGGAUCCCUUCUUUACGCCUUACCCACCGCACACGUAUUGCGCUUUAUAGGGAAGGCCAACGGGCGCCGUGCCGAACCCGUGGCGACUCACCAACAAGGGGCACCCAAGAUGGGUAGGCUUAAAAGGAAGGAGGUCAGGACCGAGACGCCAUCGCAGAGGUAUGAUUUAAAACAUGCUUCAUGAUUAUCGUCUUUGAGAUAUAACAAUGUCCAUUGUCCCCCGGCAGAAAAAGUAUGCACUAGACUGUAUCCGGAGAUCCUGCCGGCCACGCCUCCACAGGCCGGAUUCUAGAACCGGACUCAAGGGUGGAGGCUAACAUGGGGACAACUCCGGAAGGUCCCUGUCGGUGUCAAAACCGGCGGAUCUCGGGUAGGGGGUCCCGAACUAUGCGUCUAGGCGGAUGGUAACAGGAGACGAGGGACACGAUGUUUUUACCCAGGUUUGGUCCCUCUUGAUGGAGGUAAAACCCUACGUCCUGCUUGAUUAAUAUUGAUGAUGUGGGUUACAAGAGUAGAUCUACCACGAGAUCAAGGAGGCUAAACCCUAGAAGCUAGCCUAUGGUAUGAUUGUUGUUCGUCCUAUGGACUAAAGCCAUCUGGCUUAUAUAGACACCGGAGAGGGCUAGGGUUACACAGAGUCGGUUACAAUGGUAGGAGAUCUACAUAUCCGUAUCGCCAAGCUUGCCUUCCACGCCAAGGAAAGUCCCAUCCGGACAUGGGACGAAGUCUUCAAUCUUGCAUCUUCAUAGUCUUGGAGUCCGGCCGAUGAUGGUAGUUUGGCUAUUCGGACACCCCCUAGUCCGGGACUCCCUCAGUAGCCCCUGAACCAGGCUUCAAUGACGACGAGUUCGGCGCGCAUGUUGUCUUCGGCAUUGCAAGGCGGGUUCCUCCUCCGAAUAAUUUAUAGAAGAUUGUGAACACAAGGAUAGUGUCCGGCUCUGCAAAAUAAAUUCCACAUACAACCGUAGAGAGAAUAAUAUUACACAAGUUCAAUCUGCUGACGUAUUUUGUGGCGUAACGUCACACCACCACCAAGCCUUCAAAUUGUUUUUAUUGUUCCAUCUCAGCUCGUUUAGCGAGGCGGUUUCCUUGGCACAUCUUGUCGAAGCAGAGAUCGUGUUCCCCUUAUUCCGGGAUUCGCAUCAAUACGGACGUGGGUAACCCAACCGCGCCAUUGAUUGCAGCGCUUUGGAGAUAAGCGAGUUUUAUCAGGCCGGUGGGGACGCAUGUUUCCGUCCGCCCAUAUAAGGGGAUAAAGAUCCAACCUUUUUUACCUGCGCCUUCUUCCUCCUUGGCUUAUCCAUCUCUGCGAACUCGAGCUCUAGCGCCCAAGCCCGCACAUCUCACCUCAACCUUCUCCAAAUAUGUCCGGAGCGGGAGGCAAGUGGAUGGCCUCCUCCGUCACGGAGGGGCAUAUCCAGAAGCUGCGCAACGCCGGAUACUUGUCCAGCGACAUCGCGCAUCGGCUCGCUAACGAGGGAGAGCUCAUCCCCACCCCUAGGCCCCAUGAGAGGGUAGUAUUCCUUCCCCAUUUCCUCCGCGGACUGGCCUUCCCACUUCAUCCCUUUGUUCGGGCGAUCAUGUUCUACUGCGGCCUAGAUUACCAUGAUCUGGCCCCGAAUUUUAUCCUCAACAUCUCGGCGUUUAUCGUCGUGUGCGAGGCCUUCCUCUGCAUCCGGCCCCACUUCGGCUUGUGGCUCAAGACCUUCAGUGUCAAGCCGAAGGUUGUGAAGGGCAGCCAAGCGGAGUGCGGAGGCGCCAUGGUGGGCAGGAUGUCCCACGUUACGUGGCUGGAGGGUACUUUCGUGGAAACCAUUAAGGGGUGGCAAUCGGGGUGGUUCUACAUCACUGAGCCGCGUGACCCUGAUUGGGCAGCGGCCCCCGAAUUUAGAUCCGGUAUCCCUACAUGGCUCACCUCCUGGAAAGAGAGUGGCCGGAUCUGUGGGGAUUCGGAGGAGCUGACCGGACUCCAAGCCUGUAUCCAGAACCUGGUGGACAAGAAGUUCAAGCUUGUCAACGUAGUCCAGGUCAUGCUCAUCCGCCGGAUUCUCCCGUGCCAACGACGGGGCUUCAACAUGUGGGAGUUUGAUCCGGCGCAGCACCAAACUUUGAAUGGGCUCUUCGACACUACGUACGAAGAGGUCUGGAAGGUGCUGUUCAAGGGUGCCGAGGCUCCCGCAUCCGCUACCGAAGAUUGCGGAUUCAGCUCGCAGCGUCCAGCUGACGAGGUGAGUGAUAUUGUCCUUUAUGGGACGCUUGUUAUUCAUAGUUUGACUCUAUGCGGGAUCUAAACUCCCUUUCCUUUGAUAGGACUGGCUGAAGAAGGCCGCACAGGCUAUCUGUCUGGCCCCAUUGCCAGAGGACCCAGCUGACGCCCGCCUAACGGGACUGCUGGCUCCGGCACCCCACGUGGUGCCGGAGAAGAAGGCCAAGAAGAAGGCCACGGGGACUCCGAAGAGUUCCCGUUUUCAGGUGCUAUCGGACGAUGAAUCCGAGGCCGACUCCUCCCACCAAGGCGAGGAGGAGAAGAAGAAAGCCUCUCCCCUAGCGGGGGGAGGGAAGAAAAGGAAGGCCUCCUCAACAAGGGAGGCCGAAGGGUCCAAGAGGGGAAAAACUCUUCCCCCGGACUGUUCCGCCAGUGCCAGUGACGACGACGAGGACUGGCCUCCAAGGGCCAAGCCUCUGGUGAGAUCGUAAGUAUCCGGACUCCCGAAUAACUUCAAGGUUUUCGUUUUCCGCCACAUUAUGUCUUUCUAAUGCCGCAUACAACCCUGCAGUCCGCCUAAGGAUGAUCUCCCCACUUCGUCGAGCGGGUCCUUAGGGCGUCAGAUAUGUAUUCUCUUCGGACUGCCUCCACCCCCCGUGAUGCGGACGAUGCCGAGGUGGGAUCCCAGGAAGGGACCCACCAGGAGGAGAGGGCCCCGGAGGUGUCGCAGGACAACCUCCCGGACUUUGCACCGGACUUAGCCCCGGAACCCAUAGUGGCUCCGGAGUCCAGCGGGCGAUCCCUUCGUAAGAAGGGCAAGACCGCGACGCCGGCUGCCUCCGUCCAACCGGAGGUGCCGGAUAAUUUGCUAGAGGCGCUCAAUAGCGCCUCUUUUAAAGAGGAACACCGCACUGUUAUGAGUGCGGUGAUUCAGAAAGUUCAGCUCGCCAAGAACGGGCUGACUGAAGCCUGCAGCAGCCUUCUAACAGGCUUUGAGGUAAGAAUUUCAAUAUAUGUAAAAUGGUACUGCAUAGACAGUAGCCCCUGAUGCUCGGUUCGGUGUUCGGAAAGAAAAGCUGGACUGAGGAUCUUUAGAAAGAUAAACGUAGGAGUCAUGAAAAUAUGUCAAUAUGGGAUUGCAGGCUGUGCUCCUGACCUCUGCCGCACUGACUGCGGAGGUCAAAACUUUGAAGGAAAACCUCAAGCGGUCCGAGAACGAGCUCGGCCAUGCCAAGAAGCAGCUCGAGGAAAAAGAAGGUGAGUAAUACCUUAUGAAAAUUGUACCUUACAGAAAAGGAUUUGGUUGCAAGAAAAAUGACAAGGAUAACUGGGGUAUUGCAGGGGCCUCUAACGAGGUGGCGACCCUGAAGGAGGCGGUGGCCGUGGCCGAACGCAAUGCGGCUGCGGAGCGCAUUGAGCAAGAGAAACAGGAGGCGCGGGUGGCGGAGGUACAACAAGAGCUCCAGGAUCUCGUGAGGAAACAUGAGAGCCUGGAGCGUGACUCAAAGACUCGAGAGUCUGAGCUUGCAAAGGCUCUUGAGAAUGCCAAAGCCGCUAAGGCCGAAGCCUACAAGGCCCUCCAGGAGAUCGAGGCGGUAAAGAAAAUAGCAGCGAGUAAGGCAUUUUUCAUGCAAAGUAAGCAUGUGAGUGUUAAUUACCUGUCGCUUACCGGAAUUCGGAGCUCUCCAGGAGCGUUCGCAGAUCUUCCUCGCAGUGUGUCCGAUGCUUCCGCAUUUUACCGGGCCGAGGAGGGGAGCUCGACGGAGAAGGUCUUCUGGUCUCAGUAUGCUGAGGCCGAACAUCCGGUGCCCCUUAGCGACCAGCUGAAGCAGCUGGUCGAGCUCCACAAGGCGGCCGAACAAGCCAUGAAGGGCCUCAUAGUUCGGCUGUGGCCUAAGGAGGCCAUGCCUGGGAGCUACUUCGGCCUGGUGUGGCGGCUGGUGGAUGCGUGCCUAUGGGUUGAAGUCAUCAAGCACUCCGCCUGUAUUGAAGGUGCCCAUCGGGCCCUUGCCCGCGCAAAGGUGCACUGGGGCAAGAUGGAUGCCCAGAAGCUUGUGACGGACCCACCACCAGAGGGCAAGGAGCAUCGCACGCCCGAGAUGUAUUAUAGGAGUGUGCUGAAGGGUGCCCGCAUUAUUGCGGGUGAGUGCUCCAAAGAAGAAGUUUUUGAGUAGACUCGCGUUUUGUUAUCCCGUGCGCUGAAAACUAAGUUCAUAUGCGCGAAGCAACGCUUGUUAAUUUAAAAUAUUACCUUCUGUGCGGCUGUUUAUCAAAUCUGAGAGAUGGCAAGUCAUCGGCUUCAGCCCCCAUGCCACGAGUGCUGGGGUGUUCGGGAUAAAUUUGGGCACUCUUGUUCCCAUAUUUGGGUCCAUCGAGGGAGGCGCUCAACACAACGAACAAGGCAACCGGACUUAUAAUGCUUGAACACUCUCACUUAGCCAUAGAAUUCUAUAAUUUUAAAUUUCGGCGAAGCCCCUAGUUUUCGGAAGGCCGAAUUUGGGGCGCUAUCCACGCCUCGGCCGGACGGAAUCCGGCUCCUCGCUCGAAGCGGCAUAAGUCUUUAGGGACUCGCAAAGAACCUCUCGAACAGCGACCAGCUCUCGCCUCAUCAUGAUGGUCAGUUUUAGCUUUCUCCACUGAGGCGUUAACCCAGCUAAACUGGGGUGCAAUCGUAGUGGUUCUCCCAGUGCUUACUUAGCCGAUAAAACUGAACGUAAGGUACCAAAACAUGGGAGCCGGGCAAACCCAACUAUUGACCCAAGAACAUGAUUCGGAGCCGAUGCAUAUAAUGCUAUAAGUUCGGGGUGCCACACUUGUGAAAGUGUUCAGACUUAUCACACCAUAACGCGGGAAACAUAAGCCCCUGGUGUAUUUAGCCGUACCAAAAUGUACGGAUGCAACAUGUCAUAGAUGAACUUAUGUGUAAGAAAGAAAUGCAAUUGGAAGCAAAAAUGUGCUGCAUUGCUUUAUUCAAAUAAAAACUGCUGUAAGUGCAGGACGAUACAAGUGGUGCGGUAAGCAAGGGAUGGGACUGUUUAACAUGUCCCCCUCCAGGGGUAGGCUACGGAAUAAUGCAUAAAACAGGUUUAAUGCUCAUAAUGGAGACCACCUGGAUUUUCGUUGUAGCCUUUCUCCUUCCCUGGAUGUUGUAUCGUGGGUUCGGCAUGUCUGCUGCCGGACAGGGCCUCUGACGAACGGAGUCCUGUAGGUAAAAUAUAAAAGGAAAAGGAAAAGAAACGACACACUUAAGAGCCCCUAGGGCGGUUGAGCCGCAGUUUGGGCUUAUCGUGGUCGAGCCCCUUGCCCCAUGCCCAUGGUAUCUUCAGAGCGUAAUGGAGUACGCGAAGGGUCUGUCUUAAUGUUUUACAGGGGCUGGGGUUGGGGCCGCACUGCUACGCGUGCUCGGAACGUGCCAGGUGGUCGUGUUGUAGGUUACUCCAGGCACGCUUAGCUGUGUCCGGCCGCUUGGCAGUCGGACUCGAGAAUUGCCUAAAAAGGCUGCUUUGUACUUCUGCCGCGAGAGCCGCUGUAUGUUCCUCCGUUCGGAGGGAGCGUUCAGUGUUUCCAUUGACCGUGAUGACUCCUCUAGGGCCUGGCAUCUUGAGCUUGAGGUAUGCGUAGUGCGGCACCGCGUUGAACUUUGCGAACGUGGUACGUCCGAGCAAGGCAUGAUAGCCGCUGCGGAAUGGGACUAUGUCGAAGAUUAACUCCUCGCUUCGGAAGUUAUCCGGGGAUCUGAAGACCACUUCCAGUGUAACUGAGCCUGUACAAUUGGCUUCUACACCUGGUAUGACGCCUUUAAAGGUUGUCUUGGUAGGUUUAAUCCUUGAGGGGUCUAUGCCCAUUUUGCACACCGUGUCCUGAUAAAGCAGGUUUUGGCUGCUGCCGCCGUCCAUCAGGACUCUGGUAAGAUGAAAUCCAUCGACGAUUGGGUCUAGAACCAAUGCGGUGAACCCACCAUGGCGAAUGCUGGUGGGGUGGUACCUUCGGUCAAAGGUGAUCGGGCAAGAGGACCAUGGAUUGAACUUCGGGGCAACUGGCUCCAUCGCGUAUACAUCCCUGAGUGCAGGCUUCCGCUCCCUUCUGGGUAUGUGCGUGGCAUAUAUCAUGUUCACCGUCCGCACCUGUGGGGGGAAACCCUUCUAUCCUCUAUUGUUCGGCGGUCGGGUCUCUUCCUCAUCGUCGCUAUGUAGCCCCUUGUCGCUGUUUUCGGCAAUUAACUUGCCUGCCUGCUUGAACACCCAACAGUCCCUAUUGGUGUGGUUAGCUGGAUUUUCAGGGGUGCCAUGUAUCUGGCACAAGCGGUCGAGAAUCCGGUCCAAAUUGGACGGACCCUGAGUUGUUCUUUUGAAUGGAUUUUUCCGUUGACCGGGUUUAGAGCCUCUGAAUCUGGCAUUGACUGCCGUAUCCUCACUGUUAUCGCCGUUAAUGCGACGUUUGUUUUUGUUGCGACGCGACCUGCCAGUACGGUCCUUGAUAUCCGGACUGCCAGAAUUUUUGUUGAGGUUGUUGCUGCAUGCUAGCCAGCUGUCCUCACCCGCACAGAAGCGGGUCAUGAGUGAUGUAAGGGCUGCCAUGGAUUUUGGCUUUUCUUGUCCCAGGUGCCGGGCAAGCCACUCGUCGCGGAUGUUAUGUUUGAAGGCCGUGAGGGCCUCGGCAUCCGGACAGUCGACGAUUUGGUUUUUCUUGGUUAAGAACCGUGUCCAGAAUUGUCUGGCCGAUUCAUCUGCCUGCUGAAUUAUGUGGCUUAGGUCAUCUGCAUCUGGUGGUCGCACGUAUGUGCCUUGGAAGUUAUCGAGGAAUGCGGCUUCCAGGUCCUCCCAACUCCCGAUUGACUCUGCUGGCAAGCUGUUAAGCCAGUGCCAGGCUGGUCCUUUAAGUUUGAGUGGGAGAUAUUUGAUGGCGUGGAGAUCGUCUCCGUGGGCCAUGUGGAUGUGGAGGAGAUAGUCCUCGAUCCAGACCGCGGGGUCUGUUGUGCCAUCAUAAGAUUCAAUAUUGACAGGUUUAAACCCUUCUGGGAUUUGAUGAUCAUUUACCUCAUCUGUGAAGCAUAGUGGGUGUGCGGCGCCUCUGUACUGGGCGAUAUCGCGAUGGAGCUCAAAAGAGCUUUGUCUGUUGUGUUCGGCCCGGCCGGACUUACUGUGUCCGGGGUGACGGUGAUCGUCACGUAUCGUGGGGCGCCCACAUGAUCCAUAGGUCGAUCUUGAUUGUCUUGCCUUAUCCUCCAAUAUUUCUCGCAGGUCCGGAGUGUUCCCCUGUGGCCUUGUGCUUUUCGAGCGAUGCCGGGGUACGGGUCUAGUGAAGGGCCUGGAGGCCUCUCUGUCGUGACCACGGGGUGGUCGAUCAGCCGUAUUGUCUCCUGGUGAAGCGGGAUCAUAUGCCUCCACCUCUAAUCGGGGGAGCAGCUUACAUUUGGGGUAGCUUUUGGAGGGGCGUUCGAGUUCAUGCUCUUCGGCCGCGAGGACUUUGGUCCAUCUGUCGGCUAGCAGAUCUUGAUCAGCUCUAAGCUGCUGCUGCUUUUUCUUGAGGCUGUUUGCCGUGGCCAUAAGCCUGCGUUUGAAACGCUCCUGUUCGACGAGAUCCUCAGGCACGACGAAUUCGUCGUCGUCGAGGCUUGCCUCGUCUCUGGAGGGAGGCAUAUAGUCCUCUACCUCUUCUUCAGCCGCUCUCUCAUGAGGUCUGGCGUCCCCCUCCUCCUGUGCUGGAUCUUUCUGGAGUGGGUUGUCUUCGGCGCUAUCCGGUGUAUUAUUGUCUCCGGUGCCGGAAUCCUCAUUCUUGCUAUGGCGGGAUUUAGAGCGGCGCCGCUGACGCCGACGCUUGGGCUGUUUCUUGGAGGGGUCAUCCUCCGCUAUUCCUUCGCUAUUCCCAUCCUUUGGGAUAUCCACCACGUAUAUGUCGUAUGAAGAGGUGGCUUUCCAGUGCCCGGUGGGCGCUGGUUCUUGGUCGUCUCCGUCAUCGUCGUCCAUACCGUCGAUGUCCUCAGAGUCAUAAUCUAGCAUGUCGGUUAGAUCAUCGACAGUGGCUACCAAGUGGGUGGUGGGUGGGCUCUGAAUUUCUUUGUCGUCCGCAUCCCAACCGUCCUGGCCGCAGUCCGGCCAGGCCUCUCCUGAUAACGAGAGGUACUUUAGCGAACUCAAGAUGUCAUGAAAAGGUGAGUGUUGAAAGAUGUCCGCCGCGGUGAACUCCAAGAUCGGCGCCCAAUCGGAUUCGACUGGAGGGGGCGCGGGAUGUCUGGAGUCCGGCAAGGAGUCCGGCACCUCGGAGUCACGAGCUUUAUGGGGGACAAGAUCGAUGUUCGGCUCUAUCGCCGUAGAGGUUGCAGCCCCCGAGGUGGUGUCUAGCCAUCCAUCCUUGGUCUGCGCAGCCGGCUCCGAGUCGAAGAUCGGAGCGGGUUCGAGUGCGGCCUCCAGGGUACUGUCCGGCUGCAGAGCUAAAUCAUGCCCAUCGUGACAGUACGGCACGCUCGGCUGUGGCUCGAAUCCGUCGAGGAUCAAGUCCCCGCGGAUGUCAGCCGUGAAGUUCAAACUUCCAAAUCUGACCUGACGGCCAGGGGCAUAGCCUUCGAUCUGCUCCAGCUGGCCAAGCGAAUUGGCCCGCAGUGCGAAGCCGCCGAAUAUGAAGAUCUGUCCGAGGAGGAAGGUCUCACCCUGGACUGCAUCGUCGUUGAUGAUCGAAGAAGCCAUCGAGCCUAUCGGUGACGACACAUAGGAACUCUCAAUGAAAGCACCAAUGUCGGUGUCAAAACCGGCGGAUCUCGGGUAGGGGGUCCCGAACUGUGCGUCUAGGCGGAUGGUAACAGGAGACGAGGGACAUGAUGUUUUUACCCAGGUUCGGGCCCUCUUGAUGGAGGUAAAACCCUACGUCCUGCUUGAUUAAUAUUGAUGAUGUGGGUUACAAGAGUAGAUCUACCACGAGAUCAAGGAGGCUAAACCCUAGAAGCUAGCCUAUGGUAUGAUUGUUGUUCGUCCUAUGGACUAAAGCCAUCCGGUUUAUAUAGACACCGGAGAGGGCUAGGGUUAAACAGAGUCGGUUACAAUGGUAGGAGAUCUACAUAUCCGUAUCGCCAAGCUUGCCUUCCACGCCAAGGAAAGUCCCAUCCGGACAUGGGACGAAGUCUUCAAUCUUGUAUCCUCAUAGUCUUGGAGUCCGACCGAUGAUGGUAGUUCGGCUAUCCGGACACCCCCUAGUCCGAGACUCCCUCAGCCCCCCUACAGAGGAUGCGGAUAGAAUAUCCGCUACCAAUUCCGAAGUGGAAAGCGCUAUGAAUCACUGGCAUCGACGGGCCGUACUCUGCGACCCUAACUUCUCCGAAGAGGCGCUCAAUGCCUUCAACUCGGGAGACACGUACAUCUGAGCUGCUCAAGGUGGGCUUGCUAGAGCCACAGACCAGUAUUUAAAGGAUAUACGGGUAAGAAAAAUCUAAUAAUUAUGUAAUCAGUAGCUCCUGAGACUUGAAACAAUUGGCACAACUUAUUUAAGGAUCAUUGUAUGAAUAGGUUCUUACAGAGAAGAACACCCAUUUGUCUCAAGAGCUGGAGCAGUGCAAAGCCCAGCUGAGGGCCGCAGUUGCCGGAAUGGAGGAAUCCAAGAAGGCCUCAUCUGGUAAUACUUGUCUCGAUAAAAAAGAAUGUAAGUACGUGUACCAGUUAGUAUUUGACAUGCUUGCGAAUCUAACAAUAGAUUCUGCAGGCAAUCCCGGAGUGGAUCCGGAGAUUGUACAAGAGGAUGAGCAAUGAGCUCAAUGACAGCUAGAGGCUGGCGAGCGCGUGCUUACACGGGUUAGGCGAGAGAAAAACGAUCUCCAGGAUGCCAAUACCCGGCUGGGCAUUGAAUUGGAAGAUGUUCGGGCCCAGCUUGCUGACUCCGUGAAGGAGAAUAAGAGGCUUCGACGCAGCAUUUUUAGUAUGUGCUCAAACGAACCUUUAUAUAGUUCGGCGAAGAAACGGGCUAAUAGAGUUAUGUCUGUAGGUAUGCUGACGGGUAGUCCCGAAGAGGAGAUGCUCGGCUCCGCAGGCGAUCUUCUGCAAGAGCUUUCACAACUGCAUGAACAAGUUCGGCAAGUGAUGCAGGGUAUUGCCCAUGCCUUGUGGCCGUCCGCCUCCCUGCCAGGAAGCAUGGGGGAGCUUGUAGAGCUGGUCAAGGGAGCGCGGCGGUGCUUCCGAUUAUGGAAGAUAUCGGCCUACCGACAAGGUGCGAGGGAAGCCUGGGCCAUGGUGAAAAUGCGGUACACCAAGGUUUAUCCGAAUCACAUGGCCCUGGUCGGACCUAUAGGGUCAGAUGGGAAAGAGAUUCCCGUUAGUCUGGUAUAUGACCAGGUAGGAUUAGCCGCAAAGUAUUCCCAAUAGGAUUGUAGGCUAGACAGCCUGUUGGAUGGUAUUGAAGAAGAAUUUAGCCAGUCUAAGUGACUGUGUACUUCAAUUGACAUAUUUGUCCCUAGCCGGAUUGUAAAUCAUUUGUCAUGGCGGACCUUUUCGCUUCAAUCUGCGGACCCGACAGUCCGGAGUGUAUCCGAAUACCCGCUCAGUUAUGUAAACCGGGGUACGCGUGGAAACCAGGCGUAGGGGUCAUAAGUGCUUGAACAGACAAGUACCCAACUAGCUAUGUUAUAUUACAUGGAUAGUAAGAAACAUCUUUCAGGGAGAAUAGUUCCGUUAAGGGUUCCUUUCCCUAGCUACGCAUGCAUUAAUGUGCAUGUCCGAACGGCGAACAGAGACGCAGGAUAUGAAACAUCUGGGGGUUUAUAUUGUAAUAGGUAAGAAACAUCUUUUGUUCGCCGACCGAAUAUUCCCUUAAGAAUGCUAGCUUUCGGCUUCACCCAGUCUGAGGUACAUGUCCGGCAGACCCGACAGUAACAAUCACAGAGGUGCUCCCCUUAUGCCCUAGACAAACUAACGAGAACGUAGGGCAUAAACACAGGAGCCAGGCAACCCAACUUGGCCAAAACUUAAGUCAUAUCGAUGCAUAUAAUGGCGAACAAAAGGUAUAUCUGGGAAAGUGACACAUAUGUAGUGGGCCUAAAGCCCGGAAGACAAUUAUAUUAAGCUUCUGUAUAAGAAGCCCCCAGGUAUAAGGAGCGCACAUAGCGCGUCAAGAUUGUGUAGUAGAGUCACACUCGAAGCUUUUUAGGGCCAUAAAAAAGAAAGAAAGAAAGAGGAUAUAAAAAAGGGCGGAGGUAAGGAGACGAACACAGAGUUCGGCGCUAGGCGUAGAAUCUUCGUAGUCUGGCCGCGUUCCAUGGAUUCGGCUUGAGUCGAUUAUCUGAUGCAUCACGCAGGUGGUACGCUCCUCUGGUGAGAACUUUAUUAAUGAUGAAGGGACCCUCCCACUUGGGCUUGAGCUUGUCCUUUUUCUUCUCCGGUAGGUGUAGAACGAGUUCGCCAACGUUAUAAGUUUUGGCCCGUACUUCUCUGCUUUGAUACCUUCGAGCAUGUUGCUGAUAGAAUGCGGAACGGGCUUUGGCGACAUCGCGCUCCUCCUCCAGGGCAUCUAGACUGUCCUGCCGAUCAAGCUCGGCUUCUCUCUCUUCAUACAUGCGCACUCGGGGUGAGUCAUGAAUGAUAUCUCAGGGCAAUACCGCCUCUGCGCCAUACACCAUGAAGAAUGCUGUGUAUCCGGUAGUGUGAUUCGGCGUGGUCCGCAGUCCCCAUAGUAUGGAGUCGAGCUCCUCAACCCAGUGCGUAUCUGAUUCCUUCAAGGAUCGCACUAGUCUGGGUUUUAUGCCGCUCAUAAUAAGACCAUUUGCUCGUUCGACUUGACCAUUUGUUUAGGGGUGAUAGACGGAGGCGUAAUCGAGCUUAAUGCCCAUGUCGCCGCACCAAGUUUUCACCUUGCCGGCUGUGAAGUUGGAGCCAUUAUCGGUGAUGAUGCUGUGGGGGACACCGUAACGGUGUACAACCCCUGAUAUGAAGUCUAUCACUGGUCUGGAUUCGUCCGUUUUAACCGGUUUGGCCUCUAUCCAUUUGGUGAAUUUAUCUACCAUGACCAAUAGGUAGUUUUUCUUAUGGCUUUCUCCUUUAAGGGGUCCGACCAUAUCGAGCCCCCAGACCGCAAAGGGCCAAGUUAUGGGGAUUGUUUGGAGAGCCGUAGGUGGCAUAUGGCUUUGGUUUGCGAAAAGCUGGCAACCGACACAAUGUUGGAUGAGGUCCUGUGCGUCUGCUUGGGCUGUCGGCCAGUAGAAACCUAUACGGAAGGGCUUGCUUACAAGGGCCCGAGCUGCGGCAUGGUGGCCGCCGAGUCCAACAUGAAUUUAGGCUAAGAGCUGCCGCCCUUCCUCUUCAGAGAUGCAUCUUUGGAGUACUCCGGUAGCGCUUUUCUUAUAAAGCUCUCCCUCGUGGACCUUGUAGGUUUUAGAGCACCGCACAAUGCAAUGUGCCUCAUUUUGGUCCUCAGGGAGUUCUUGCCUAUUUAGGUAGGCUAAGAAGGGUUCUGUCCACGGGGCGAUGAUAGCCAUGAUCACGUGGGUCGAAGGUGUUAUUUCGGUGGUGGAGCCUCCGAUUAUGUCAGUGUGUUCGGGAUCUGGGGUUGUGGUCGGAUCCGGACUAGUAUUGCCGGUCUCCCCUUGGCACACCACGGAUGGCUUGAACAGCCUUUCCAAGAAGAUAUUAGGUGGGACAGGGUCGCGCUUAGCACCAAUGCGGGCGAGGAUUUCCGCCGUUUGAUUGUUUUCUCGGACCACAUGAUGGAAUUCGAGCCCCUCGAAUCGAGCUGACAUCUUGAGGAUGGCAUUGCGGUAAGCCGCCAUUUUCGAGUCCUUGGCGUCAAAGUCUCCAUUUAUUUGAGAUAUUGCGAGGUUCGAAUCCCCACGCACCUCUAGGCAUUGAAUGCCCAAGGAGACCGCCAUCCGAAGACCAUGCAAUAGAGCCUCGUAUUCGGCUGCAUUAUUGGAGUCUGUGUAUAGUAUUUGGAGUAUGUAUUGGACUGCAUCUCCGGUGGGGGAUGUCAGGACAACGCCCGCUCCCAGACCAGCCAGCACCUUAGAGCCGUCAAAGUGCAUGAUCCAAUUAGUGUAUACGCCAUCCUCUUUAGGGAGUUCGGCUUCUGUCCAUUCGGCGAUGAAGUCAGCCAGUACUUGCAACUUAAUGGCUCCCCAUGGUUUACAUAUAAUGUCGAACGGGAGGAGCUCGAUGGCCCACUUAGCAAUCCGGCCCGUGGCAUCGCGGUUAUUUAUUAUAUCGUUGAGUGGUACUUCCGAGGCCACCGUGAUUGAACACUCUUGAAAGUAGUGUCGUAGUUUCCGGGAUGCCAUGAAGACCGCGUAUGCUAUCUUUUGAUAAUUUGGGUACCAUGACUUGCAUGGUGUGAGGACAAUGGAUACGUAGUAUACCGGCUUUUUAAGCGGGAACUUAUGUCCGUCCUCCUCUCAUUCGACGACCAACACUGCCAUUACAACUUGGUGCGUUGUAGCUAUAUAUAACAGCAUGGGUUCGCUGAUGUUUGGUGCAGCCAGGAUUGGAUUGCUGGCCAAGAGGGCCUUUAUUUCUUCCAGUCUGACCGUAGCCGCAUCCGUCCACUCGAAGUGUUCGGUGCGUCGAAGAAGGCGAUAGAGGGGUAGUGCCUUUUCUCCCAAUUGGGAAAUAAAGCGGCUUAAGGCAGCCGCACAUCCAGUUAAUUUCUGGAUUUGCUUGAGGUCUGUUGGGGUAGCCAACUGUGACAGAGCUCGAAUUUUAGCCGAAUUUGCUUGAAUUCCUCUAUUGGAAACUAAGAAGCCUAGGAGCUUUCCGGCAGGAAUGCCGAAAACGCAUUUUUCCAGAUUGAGCUGAAGGAAAUAUGCCCUAGAGGCAAUAAUAAAGUUAUUAUUUAUUUCCUCAUAUCAUGAUAAAUGUUUAUUAUUCAUGCUAGAAUUGUAUUAACCGGAAACAUAAUACAUGUGUGAAUACAUAGACAAACUUAAUGUCACUAGUAUGCCUCUACUUGACUAGCUCAUUAAUCAAUGAUGGUUAUGUUUCCUAACCAUAGACAUGUGUUGUCAUUUGAUUAACGGGAUCACAUCAUUAGGAGAAUGAUGUGAUUGACUUGACCCAUUCCAUUAGCCUAGCACUUGAUCGUUUAGUAUGUUGCUAUUGCUUUCUUCAUGACAUAUACAAAGUUCCUACAACUAUGAGAUUAUGCAACUCCCGUUUACCGGAAGAACACUUUGUGUGCUACCAAACGUCACAACGUAACUGGGUGAUUAUAAAGGAGCUCUACAGGUGUCUCCGAAGGUACAUGUUGGGUUGGCGUAUUUCGAGAUUAGGAUUUGUCACUCCGAUUGUCGGAGAGGUAUCUCUGGGCCCUCUCGGUAAUGCACAUCACUAUAAGCCUUGCAAGCAAUGUAGCUAAUGAGUUAGUUACAGAAUGAUGCAUUACGUAACGAGUAAAGAGACUUGCCGGUAACGAGAUUGAACUAGGUAUUGGAUACCGACGAUCGAAUCUCGGGCAAGUAACAUACCGAUGACAAAGGGAACAACGUAUGUUGUUAUGCGGUUUGACUGAUAAAGAUCUUUGUAGAAUAUGUAGGAGCCAAUAUGAGCAUCUAGGUUCCGCUAUUGGUUAUUGACCGGAAACAGUUCUAGGUCAUGUCUACAUAGUUCUCGAACCCGUAGGGUCCGCACGCUUAAUGUUACGAUGACCGUUUUAUUAUGAGUUUAUAAGUUUUGAUGUACCGAAGAUUGCUCGGAGUCCCGGAUGUGAUCACGGACAUGACGAGGAGUCUCGAAAUGGUCGAGACAUAAAGAUUGAUAUAUUGGAAGCCUAUAUUUGGAUAUUGGAAACGUUCUGGGUGAAAUCGGAAUUUUACCGGAGUACCGGGGGGUUACCGGAACCCCCCGGGGGUUAAUGGGCCUACAUGGGCCAUGAGGGAGAAGAGGAGGGCCGGCCAGGGUAGGCUGCACGCCCCCUCCCCCCUAGUCCGAAAAGGACAAGGAAAGGGGGGGCGGCGCCCCCCUUUCCUCUUUCCCCUCCCCCCUUUCCUUCUCCACCAAGGCAAGAGGGGGGAGUCCUACUCCCAGUGGGAGUAGGACUCCUCCAGGCGCACCCCUAGGGGGCCGGCCGCACUUCCCCCUCCCUCCUUUAUAUACAGGGGCAGGGGGGCACCCCAUGACACACAAGUUUAUCAUCAUGAUCGUUCCUUAGCCGUGUGCGGUGCCCCCCUCCACCAUAUUCCACCUCGGUCAUAUCGUUGCGGUGCUUAGGCGAAGCCCUGCGUUGGUAGAACAUCAUCAUAGUCACCAAGCCAUCGUGCUGACAGAACUCAUCUCCGACACCUUGCUGGAUCGGAGUCCGGGGAUCGUCAUCGAGCUGAACGUGUGCUGAACUCGGAGGUGCCGUAUGUUCGGUGCUUGGAUCGGUCAGAUCGUGAAGACGUACGACUACAUCAACCACAUUGUCAUAACGCUUCCGCUUACGGUCUACGAGGGUACGUGGACAACACUCUCCCCUCUCGUUGCUAUGCAUCACCAUGAUCUUGCGUGUGCAUAGGAAUUUUUUUGAAAUUACUAUGUUCCCCAAUAGUGGCAUCCGAGCCUGGUUUUAUGCGUAGAUGUUAUAUGCAUGAGUAGAACACAAGUGAGUUGUGGGUGAUAUAAGUCAUACUGCUUACCAGCAUGUCAUACUUUGGUUCAGCGGCAUUGUGAGAUGAAGCGGCCCGGACCGACAUUACGCGUACGCUUACGCGAGACUGGUUUCACCGCUACGAGCACUCGUUGCUUAAAGGUGACCGGCGGGUGUCUGUCUCUCUCACUUUAGUUGAACUGAGUAUGGCUACGCCCGGUCCUUGCGAAGGUUAAAACUACACCAACUUGACAAACUAUCGUUGUGGUUUUGAUGCGUAGGUAAGAACGGUUCUUGCUCAGCCCGUAGCAGCCACGUAAAACUUGCAACAACAAAGUAGAGGACGUCUAACUUGUUUUUGCAGGGCAUGUUGUGAUGUGAUACGGUCAAGACAUGAUGCUUUAUUUUACUCUAUGAGAUGAUCAUGUUUUGUAACCGAAGUUAUUGGCAACUGGCAGGAGCCAUAUGGUUGUCGCUUUAUUAUAUGAAAUGCAAAUGCCCUAUAAUUGCUUUACUUUAUCACUAAGCGAUAGCGAUAGUCGUAGAAGCAAUAGAUGGCGUAACGACAACGAUGCUACGAUGGAGAUCAAGGUGUCGCGCCGGUGAUGAUGGUGAUCACGAUGGUGCUUCGGAGAUGGAGAUCACAAGCACAAGAUGAUGAUGGCCAUAUCAUAUCACUUAUAUUGAUUGCAUGUGAUGUUUAUCCUUUAUGCAUCUUAUCUUGCUUUGAUUGACGGUAGAAUUUUAAGAUGAUCUCUCACUAAAUUAUCAAGAAGUGUUCUCCCUGAGUAUGCACCAUUGCAAAAGUUCUUCGUGCUGAGACACCACAUGAUGAUCGGGUGUGAUAGGCUCUACGUUCAAAUACAACGGGUGUAAAACAGUUGCACACGCGGAAUACUCAGGUUAAACUUGACGAGCCUAGCAUAUACAGAUAUGGCCUCGGAACACGGAGACCGAAAGGUCGAACGUGAAUCAUAUAGUAGAUAUGAUUAACAUAGUGAUGUUCACCAUUGAAACUACUCCAUCUCACGUGAUGAUCGGACAUGGUUUAGUUAAUUUGGAUCACGUUAUCACUUAGAUGACUAGAGAGAUGUCUGUCUAAGUGGGAGUUCUUAAGUAAUAUGAUUAAUUGAACUUAAAUUUAUCAUGAACUUAGUACCUGAUAGUAUUUUGCUUGUCUAUGUUUGAUGUAGAUAGAUGGCUCGUGCUGUUGUUCCAUUGAAUUUUAAUGCGUUCCUUGAGAAAGCUAAGUUGAAAGAUGAUGGUAGCAAUUACAUGGACUGGGUCCGUAACCAGAGGAUUAUCCUCAUUGCUGCACAGAAGAAUUACGUCCUGGAAGCACCGCUGGGUGCCAGGCCUGCUGCUGAUGCAACUGACGACGUUAAGAACGUCUGGCAGAGCAAAGCUGAUGACUACUCGAUAGUUCAGUGUUCCAUGCUUUACGAUUUGGAACCGGGUCUUCAACAACGUUUUGAACGUCAUGGAGCAUAUGAGAUGUUUCAGGAGUUGAAGUUAAUAUUUCAAGCAAAUGCCCGGAUUGAGAGAUAUGAAGUGUCCAAUAAGUUCUAUAGCUGUAAGAUGGAGGAGAAUAGUUCUGUCAGUGAACACAUACUCAAAAUGUCUGGGUAUAAUAAUCACUUGAUUCAACUGGGAGUUAAUCUUCCUGAUGAUAGUGUCAUUGACAGAAUUCUUCAAUCACUGCCACCAAGCUACAAGAACUUCGUGAUGAACUAUAAUAUGCAAGGGAUGGACAAGACUAUACCCGAGCUCUUCGCAAUGCUAAAAGCCGCGGAGGUAGAAAUCAAGAAGGAGCAUCAAGUGUUGAUGGUUAACAAGACCACCAGUUUCAAGAAAAAGGGCAAAGGGAAGAAGAAGGGGAACUUCAAGAAGAACAGCAAACAAGUUGCUGCUCAGGAGAAGAAACCCAAGUCCGGACCUAAGCCUGAGACUGAGUGCUUCUACUGCAAGCAGACUGGACACUGGAAGCGGAACUGCCCCAAGUAUUUGGCGGAUAAGAAGGAUGGCAAAGUGAACAAAGGUAUAUAUGAUAUACAUGUUAUUGAUGUGUACCUUACUAAUGCUCGCAGUAGCACCUGCGUAUUUGAUACUGGUUCUGUUGCUAAUAUUUGCAACUCGAAACAGGGACUACGGAUUAAGCGAAGAUUAGCUAAGUACGAGGUGACGAUGCGCGUGGGAAAUGGUUCCAAAGUCGAUGUGAUCGCGGUCGGCACGCUACCUCUACAUCUACCAUCGGGAUUAGUUUUAGACCUAAAUAAUUGUUAUUUGGUGCCAGCGUUGAGCAUGAACAUUAUAUCUGGAUCUUGUUUGAUGCGAGAUGGUUAUUCAUUUAAAUCAGAGAAUAAUGGUUGUUCUAUUUAUAUGAGUAAUAUCUUUUAUGGUCAUGCACCCUUGAAGAGUGGUCUAUUUUUAUUAAAUCUCGAUAGUAGUGAUACACAUAUUCAUAAUGUUGAAACCAAAAGAUGCAGAGUUAAUAAUGAUAGUGCAACUUAUUUGUGGCACUGCCGUUUAGGUCAUAUCGGUGUAAAGCGCAUGAAUAAACUCCAUACUAAUGGACUUUUGGAAUCACUUGAUUAUGAAUCACUUGGUACUUGUGAACCGUGCCUCAUGGGCAAGAUGACUAAAAUGCCGUUCUCCGGAACUUUGGAGCGAGCAACUGAUUUGUUGGAAAUCAUACAUACUGAUGUAUGUGGUCCAAUGAAUAUUGAGGCUCACGGCGGGUAUCGUUAUUUUCCCACCUUCACAGAUGAUUUGAGCAGAUAGGGGUAUAUUUACUUGAUGAAACACAAGUCUGAAACAUUUGAAAAGUUCAAAGAAUUUCAGAGUGAAGUGGAAAAUCAUCGUAACAAGAAAAUAAAAUUUCUACGAUCUGAUCAUGGAGGAGAAUAUUUGAGUUAUGAGUUUGGCUUACAUUUGAAACAAUGUGGAAUAGUUUCACAACUCACGCCACCCGGAACACCACAACGAAAUGGUGUGUCCGAACGUCGUAAUCGUACUUUACUAGAUAUGGUGCAAUCUAUGAUGUCUCUUACCGAUUUACCGCUAUCAUUUUGGGGUUAUGCUUUAGAGAGGGCCGCAUUCACGUUAAAUAGGGCACCAUCAAAAUCCAUUGAGACGACACCUUAUGAACUGUGGUUUGGCAAGAAACCAAAGUUGUCGUUUCUUAAAGUUUGGGGGUGCGAUGCUUAUGUGAAGAAACUUCAACCAGAUAAGCUCAAAACCAAAUCGGAGAAAUGUGUCUUCAUAGGAUACCCAAAAGAGACUAUUGGGUACACCUUCUAUCACAGAUCUGAGGGCAAGAUUUUCGUUGCUAAAUUCGGAUCCUUUCUAGAGAAGGAGUUUCUCUUGAAAUAAGUGAGUGGGAGGAAAGUAGAACUUGAUGAGGUAACUGUACCUACUCCCUUAUUGGAAAGUAGUUCAUCACAAGAACCGGUUCCUGUGACAACUACACCAAUUAAUGAGGAAGCUAAUGAUAUUGAUCAUGAAACUUUAGAUCAAGUUUCUACUGAACCUCGUAUGUCUACCAGAGUAAGAUCCACACCAGAGUGGUACGGUAAUCCUAUUCUGGAAGUCAUGUUACUUGACCAUGACAAACCUACGAACUAUGAGGAAGCGAUGAUGAGCCCAGAUUCCGCAAAAUGGUUAGAAGCCAUGAAAUCUGAGAUGGGAUCCAUGUAUGAGAACAAAGUAUGGACUUUGGUUGACUUGCCCGAUGAUCGGCAAGCCAUUGAGAAUAAAUGGAUCUUCAAGAAGAAGACUGACGUUGAUGGUAAUGUAACUGUCUACAAAGCUCGACUUGUUGCAAAAGGUUUUCGACAAGUUCAAGGGGUUGACUACGAUGAGAAUUUCUCACCCGUAGCAAUGCUUAAGUUUGUCCGAAUCAUGUUAGCAAUUGCUGCAUUUUAUGAUUAUGAAAUUUGGCAAAUGGAUGUCAAAACUGCAUUCCUGAAUGGAUUUCUGGAAGAAGAGUUGUAUAUGAUGCAACCGGAAGGUUUUGUCGAUCCAAAAGGUGCUAACAAAGUGUGCCAGCUCCAGCGAUCCCUUUAUGGACUGGUGCAAGCAUCUCGGAGUUGGAAUAAACGCUUUGAUAGUGUGAUCAAAGCAUAUGGUUUUAUACAGACUUUUGGAGAAGCCUGUAUUUACAAGAAAGUGAGUGGGAGCUCUGUAGAAUUUCUGAUAUUAUAUGUAGAUGACAUAUUGUUAAUUGGAAAUGAUAUAGAAUUUCUGGAUAGCAUAAAGGGAUACUUGAAUAAAAGUUUUUCAAUGAAAGACCUCGGUGAAGCUGCUUACAUAUUGGGCAUCAAGAUCUAUAGAGAUAGAUCAAGACGCUUAAUUGGACUUUCACAAAGCACAUACCUUGAUAAAGUUUUGAAAAAGUUCAAAAUGGAUCAGGAAAAGAAAGGGUUCUUGCCUGUAUUACAAGGUGUGAAGUUGAGUCAGACUCAAUGCCCGACCACCGCAGAAGAUAGAGAGAAAAUGAAAGAUGUUCCCUAUGCUUCAGCCAUAGGCUCUAUCAUGUAUGCAAUGUUGUGUACCAGACCUGACGUAUGCUUAGCAAUAAGCUUGGAAGGUAGGUACCAAAGUAAUCCAGGAGUGGAUCACUGGACAGCGGUCAAGAACAUCCUAAAAUACCUGAAAAGGACUAAGGAUAUGUUUCUCGUUGAUGGAGGUGACAAAGAGCUAGUCGUAAAUGGUUACGUCGAUGCAAGCUUUGACACUGAUCCGGACGAUUCUAAAUCACAAACCGGAUACGUGUUUUUAUUAAACGGUGGAGCUGUAAGUUGGUGCAGUUCUAAACAAAGCGUCGUGGCGGGAUCUACAUGUGAAGCAGAGUACAUAGCUACUUCGGAAGCAGCAAAUGAAGGAGUCUGGAUGAAGGAGUUCAUUUCUGAUCUAGGUGUCAUACCUAGUGCAUCGGGACCAAUGAAGAUCUUCUGUGACAAUACUGGUGCAAUUGCCUUGGCAAAGGAAUCCAGAUUUCACAAGAGGACCAAGCACAUCAAGAGACGCUUCAAUUCCAUCCGGGACCAAGUCCAGGUGGGAGACAUAGAGAUUUGCAAGAUACAUACGGAUCUGAAUGUUGCAGACCUGUUGACUAAGCCUCUUCCACGAGCAAAACAUGAUCAACACCAAGACUCCAUGGGUGUUAGAAUCAUUACUGUGUAAUCUAGAUUAUUGACUCUAGUGCAAGUGGGAGACUGAAGGAAAUAUGCCCUAGAGGCAAUAAUAAAGUUAUUAUUUAUUUCCUCAUAUCAUGAUAAAUGUUUAUUAUUCAUGCUAGAAUUGUAUUAACUGGAAACAUAAUACAUGUGUGAAUACAUAGACAAACUUAAUGUCACUAGUAUGCCUCUACUUGACUAGCUCAUUAAUCAAUGAUGGUUAUGUUUCCUAACCAUAGACAUGUUUUGUCAUUUGAUUAACGGGAUCACAUCAUUAGGAGAAUGAUGUGAUUGACUUGACCCAUUCUGUUAGCCUAGCACUUGAUCGUUUAGUAUGUUGCUAUUGCUUUCUUCAUGACUUAUACGAAGUUCCUACAACUAUGAGAUUAUGCAACUCCCGUUUAUCGAAAGAACACUUUGUGUGCUACCAAAUGUCACAACGUAACUGGAUGAUUAUAAAGGAGUUCUACAUGUGUCUCUGAAGGUACAUGUUGGGUUAGCGUAUUUCGAGAUUAGGAUUUGUCACUCCGAUUGUCGGAGAGGUAUCUCUGGGCCCUCUCGGUAAUGCACAUCACUAUAAGCCUUGCAAGCAAUGUAGCUAAUGAGUUAGUUACGGAAUUAUGCAUUACGUAACGAGUAAAGAGACUUGCCGGUAACGAGAUUGAACUAGGUAUUGGAUACCGAUGAUCGAAUCUCGGGCAAGUAACAUACCGAUGACAAAGGGAACAACGUAUGUUGUUAUGCGGUUUGACCGAUAAAGAUCUUCGUAGAAUAUGUAGGAGCCAAUAUGAGCAUCCAGGUUCCGCUAUUGGUUAUUGACCGGAAACAGUUCUAGGUCAUGUCUACAUAGUUCUCGAACCCGUAGGGUCCGCACGCUUAACGUUACGAUGACAGUUUUAUUAUGAGUUUAUAAGUUUUGAUGUACCGAAGAUUGUUCGGAGUCCCAGAUGUGAUCACGGACAUGACGAGGAGUCACGAAAUGGUCGAGACAUAAAGAUUGAUAUAUUGGAAGCCUAUAUUUGGAUAUCGGAAACGUUCCGGGUGAAAUCGGGAUUUUACCGGAGUACCGGGGGGUUACCGGAACCCCCCCGGGGGUUAAUGGGCCUACAUGGGCCAUGAGGGAGAAGAGGAGGGCCGGCCAGGGAAGGCCGCGCGCCCCUCCCCCCUAGUCCGAAUAGGACAAGGAAAGGGGGGCGGCGCCCCCCUUUCCUCUUUCCCCUCCCCCUUUUCCUUCUCCACCAAGGCAAGAGGGGGGAGUCCUACUCCCGGUGGGAGUAGGACUCCUCCAGGCGCACCCCUAGGGGGCCGGCCGCACCUCCCACUCCCUCCUUUAUAUACGGGGGAAGGGGGGCACCCCAUGCCACACAAGUUGAUCAUCGUGAUCGUUCCUUAGCCGUGUGCGGUGCCCCCCUCCACCAUAUUCCACCUCGGUCAUAUCGUUGUGGUGCUUAGGUGAAGCCCUGCAUCGGUAGAACAUCAUCAUCGUCACCACGCCGUCGUGCUGAUGGAACUCAUCCCUGACACCCUGCUGGAUCGGAGUCCGGGGAUCAUCAUUGAGCUGAACGUGUGCUGAACUCGGAGGUGCCGUAUGUUCGGUGCUUGGAUCGGUCGGACCAUGAAGACGUACGUCUACAUCAACCGCGUUGUCAUAACGUUUCCGCUUACGGUCUACGAGGGUACGUGGACAACACUCUCCCCUCUCGUUGCUAUGCAUCACCAUGAUCUUGCGUGUGCGUAGGAUUUUUUUUUGAAAUUACUAUGUUCCCCAACAUGAGCUUGAUGUCAUAUGUUCGGAGAUUGUCGAACGUAAACCUCAGGUCAUCUAUUAAAGAUUCGACGUGUCUGGUCUUGAUGACCACGUCAUCCAUGUAUGCCUCAACUGUUUUGCCGAUUUGUUUUUCCAGGCACGCCUGAAUCAUGCGUUGAUAGGUUGCACAUGCAUUUUUGAGCCCGAAAGGCAUGGUGUUGAAACAGAAAGGGCCAUAUGGAGUGAUAAAUGCCGUUGCGGCUUGAUCGGACUCCGCCAUCUUGAUUUGAUGGUAUCCGGAGUAUGUGUCAAGGAAGCACAAUGAGUCAUGUCCUGUGGUAGCGUCGAUGAUUUGAUCGAUGCGGGGGAGAGGGAAGGGAUCCUUGGGGCAAGCCUUAUUGAGGUCCUUGAAAGCGACACAUAGGCGCCAGGAUUUGUCCUUCUUUGGUACCAUUACCAGAUUUGCUAGCCAGUCCAGGUGUUUUAUUUCUCUGAUGAAUCCGGCUUCGAGUAACUUGGCUAGCUCCUCUCCCAUGGCUUGUCGUUUAGGUUAUGAAAAGCGCCGAAGAGUCUGCUUGACCGACUUGUAUCCCUUCAGUAUGUUUAGGCUGUGCUCGGCCAACCUACGUGGGAUACUUGGCAUGUCUGAAGGGUGCUAGGCGAAGAUGUCCCGAUUCUCACGCAAGAACGCCCGCAGUGCGGCGUCUAUUGUGGGGUUUAGCUGUGCCCCGAUGGAUGCUGUUUUUGUAGAGUCCGUUGGGUGGACUUGGAAUUUGACUAUUUCGUCCGCUGGUUUGAAAGAGGUGGACUUGGGUCGUUUGUCGAGUAUCACGUCGUCCCUGUCCACUAUGGAGUGCAGCGCAGUUAGUUCUUUGGCCGCGAGGGCUUUAGAUCAUGCCUCGAGGGCCAGAGCGGCGGUUUUAGUUUUGGUGCGGAGUGCUACGUCUGGAUCACCGGCUAGAGUGAUGAUUCCAUUGGGCCUGGGCAUCUUGAGCUUCAUGUACCCGUAAUGUGGUAUAGCUUGGAAGCUCGUGAAUGCGUCCCGCCCUAAAAGGGUGUGGUAUCCGCUACUGAACGGGGCUACUUGGAAUGUUAUUUUUUCGGACCUAUAAUUCUUCGCGUGCCGAAUACCACAUCGAGUGUGAUUUUUCCCGCACAUCGUGCCUCCCGACUAGGGAUAAUUCCUCUGAAGGUCGUGCUGCUUUGCUCAAUGCGGCUCUUGUCUAUUUCCAUUUUGUUGAGAGUUUCCUCGUAGAUGAGGUUUAAUCCACUGGCACUGUCCAUGAGCACUUUAGUAAGCCGGAAGCCAUCCACAAUUGGACUAAGGACCAAAGCGGCUGGUGCUCGGACUGUUCGGAAUUGAGGUUCGUCACUGGCAUUUAAGGUUAUGGCCGUGUCAUUCCAAGGAUUUAUUGCUGCAAUGUGGCAGACUUCGGCGAGGCUGUGGAGUGCUCUCUUGCGCCUGUUAUUUGAGGCAAAAGUCUCGAAGACUGUCAAUACUGUAUUGUUGUUUUCUGCGGGAUGAUGCUCUGCGGUAUCAUUAAUGAGGAGAUCCUCACCGCUCUUGGCCACCUUCCAAAGUAUCCAACAUGCUCUAAGGCUGUGUGUUGGUACGGUAUCCGGUGUGGUGUGAAUUUUGCAUGGCCCAUUGAGCCAUCCCUCCAAUACGGUUCCACGCCCUGUAGUGGGCUUUGGUUUCUUUGUAAUUGGAUCGAGUGACUUGCGAGAGUGCACCCUUUUAGUUUGGACGAGGGGUUUAGUGAGAGACGGAGGAUCCCAGAAUUUUGCUUGGGUUUUCCAGGUGCUUUCCAUCGCAUAGUACUUCUGUACUAUGGCCUCCAAGUCAGCGAAGUGUGCUAUGUCACGGCGACUUACGGCGUUGAGGAUUCCCUUGUCCGUGCAAUUUUUGCAAAAGAAUGAGAUUGUGUCUUCCUCGCGACAGUCCUUGACCUUGCUCAUUACAAGGAGGAAUCUGGCCCAAAAGUGAUGUGCUCAUCUUGGGAUUGUUGUCUAAUGUGGGAAAGAUCGCUUGUAUCUAGGUGGGUGGGUAGAUUUAAGUCUGAACCCUGACCUGAUCUGAGACCCAGGGGCAGAGGAGCUUCCGAACUUGGUAGAUCGGGUUCUGGGAUGUUGCCCAAUUUUUCUGACACGCCGUCCGAUUCUAAGUUCGGAGCUUGGGUCAUGUCCUCCUGUAGACGGGUAUCCGGCUCGGAGAGCUCGAGAAUCCAGACAUAGUUCGUCCUCAAAAUAGAGGCGGAAUUGCUGCAUUGCUCCUCCACCAUCGCUAUCUCAUGGGUGACCGGCGGAGAGUUAAUCUCUCUUUGGUCGGGUUUAAGCCCAAUCUGAUCAUAGUCCGCAGAGACUCCCAAGGAGGCGAUGCGAUCCAAGAGCUCGUUCAAGGAUGAGAGCUCCAUUGGAUCCAUCUGCUCGGUGUAUUCCGAGCUGACGUGGAGGCUGUUUUUGAUGACCCGAGAAGUCAUCGUCGGCGCGGCGGUCGCACGGGCGGUCAUGACGGAGCCGCCUAGUCAGAGGGUUUGGCCUAAAGCCAGGGCUCCCCCAGCGGUGAUGUUGUCCUUAAUAACAAGGCUAGCCAUCAAACCUUUUUCGACGUCACAAUGAAACUCUCAAUGGAAGCACCAAUGUCGGUGUCAAAACCGGCGGAUCUCGGGUAGGGGGUACCAAACUGUGCGUCUAAGGCUAAUGGUAACAGGAGGCAGGGGACACAAUGUUUACCCAGGUUUGGGCCCUCUCUAUGGAGGUAAUACCCUACUUCCUGCUUGAUUGAUCUUGAUGAUAUGAGUAUUACAAGAGUUGAUCUACCAUGAGAUCAUAGAGGCUAAACCCUAGAAGCUAGCCUAUGAUUAUGAUUGUUGUUGUCCUAGGGACUCCGGUUUAUAUAGACACCAGAGGGGGCUAGGGUUACACAGAGUUGGUUACAGAGAAGGAAAUCUACAUAUCCGAAUUACCAAGCUUGCCUUCCACGCAAAGGAGAGUCCCACCAGGACACGGGACGAAGUCUUCAAUCUUGUAUCUUCAUAGUCCAACAGUCAGGCACAAGUACAUAGUCCGGCUGUCCGAGGAUCCCCUAAUCUAGGACUGUCACGCCCAAUAUGCGACCCUAUCCAAAAGGAACUCGAAGGUCCCACCAAGGAUAGACCCGCAUAUGAAACGCUUUUGCAAGGUGGAUAUCAUUACAUCAACAUUACAUAAAUAGAUGGGGAUACAUACAUAAGGCAUACAAUGCCACAUGAAUACAAUAUCACAAUACAUGAGAGCAUCAUCCGACUACGGAUGAAACACAAACAGAAACUCAAACGACAUCCACCCUGCUAGCCCAGGCUGCCGACCUGGAACCUAUCCCCUGAUCGAAGAAGAAGCAGAAGAAGAACUCAACUCAAGCAAGCAUCGCUCUCGCGUCAUGAUCAUCGCAUAACCUGUACCUGCAACUGUUGUUGUAGUAAUCUGUGAGCCACGAGGACUCAGCAAUCCCAUUACCAUGGGUAUCAAGACUAGCAAAGCUUAAAGGGGAAGGAAGGGGUAAAGUGGUGAGGCUGCAGCAGCGACUAAGCAUAUAUGGUGGCUAACAUACGCAAAUAAGAGCGAGAAGAGAGCAAGCGGAACGGUCGUCAACUAGUAAUGAUCAAGAAGUGAUCCUGAACUCCUACUUACGUCAAACAUAACCCAAAGACCGUGUUCACUUCCCGGACUCCGCCAAGAAGAGACCAUCACGGCUACACACACGGUUGAUGCAUUUUAAUUCGGAUCUGAUGUCAAGUUAUCUACAACCGGACAUUAACAAAUUCCCAUCUGCCUAUAACCGCGGGCACGGCUUUUGAAAGAUUAUACCCUGCAGGGGUGUCCCAACUUAGCCCAUGACAAGCUCUCGCGAUCAAUGAAGGAAUAGACCUUCUCCCAGGAAGACCCGAUCAGACUCGGAAUCCCGGUUUACAAGACAUUUCGACAAUGGUAAAACAAGACCAGCAAAGCCGCCCGAUGCGCCGACAAUCCCGAUAGGAGCUGCACAUAUCUCGUUCUCAGGGCAACACCGGAUGAGCAAUCCGUACAACUAAAACGACACCUCAAGUUUCCCUGAGGGGGCGUUGCAAAGGGCUCUAGUUCGGACCAACACUUAGACAAGCACUGGCCCGGGGGGGGGGGCUAUAAUAAAGAUGACCCUCGAGAGAGCAACUCCCAAGGGAAAAGGUAGGUGGUGAUGAGGCAAAUGGUAAAACCAAGGUUGGGCCUUGCUGGAGGAGUUUUAUUCAAAGUGAACUGUCAAGGGGGUCCCAUAAAUCACCCGACCGCAUAAGAGACGCAAAAUCCGGGAACAUAACACCGGUAUGACGGAAACUAGGGCGGCAAGAGUGGAACAAAACACCAGGCAUAAGGCCGAGCCUUCCACCCUUUACCAAGUAUAUAGAUGCAUUAAUAAUAUAAGAGAUAUUGUGAUAUCCCAACCAAAAUCCUGUCCACCAUGGAGCAAUCUCCAACUUCACCUGCAACUAACAACGCUAUAAGAGGGGCUGAGCAAAGCGGUAACAUAGCCAAGCAACGGUUUGCUAGGAAUGGUGUCAAAGGUUAGAGGUUCAUGGCAAUUUGGGAUGGCUUGAUAAACAGGUAAUAGGUAGCGCAGCAUAGCGAUAGAACGAAGCAACUAGCAUAGCAAUGAUAGUAGUGAGAUCCAGGGUAGCGGUCAUCUUGCCUGAGAUCCAGCAUGGAAGAAGAACGAGUCCAUGAAGAAGACAAGCGGACGUAGUCGAACGAAUCCUCACGAACGCAACAUUACCGGAACUAAGAAGCAACACCGGAAAGAAACAAAAAAAC